This 57672-nucleotide long non-coding RNA is filed under the name Brassica napus (rape). RNAcentral describes it as "long non-coding RNA (BNAP_LNC014258)". The stretch from base 42361 to 42467 matches the Rfam family "Plant small nucleolar RNA R71". The record is from RNAcentral. Lineage: Eukaryota; Viridiplantae; Streptophyta; Magnoliopsida; Brassicales; Brassicaceae.
AUUUAAACUGUGAGACACUUCGACUGGCCAAAUAGGAUAUGCUAACUAAUUUCAAGGUUGAGGCAAAUCAAUCCUUGAUCUAAACCUGAAAGACAACACCUCUCUAAAUGGAACCACUAAACCACCACCACUUGGUUUAGCUAUUUGAAAUUUUCUUGAUUACAUUGCAAAAAUAUAUCUAAAUAUUCUACACAGCCUAUACAGUUGCAAUAUGUCUCACUUUUCACAAACUUUAUCUAAGCUUUCACAUUUUUUACUUCUCCUCAUUUGCAGGUUAUUCAUGACUUGUAUUCUUCAGCUUUUAUUUUAUUUACCAUUUUUUUCCUUUCAAAGAAAGAAAAAGAAACGUAAAUAGAGCAAGAUUCAAACAAAAACGGCGAUAGUGUGGUCUAACCACUCUGGGAAAAUCAAUACGAAUGUAUUCCAAAUAAAUCGUCUACCAUAAUAUAUACAUGCAUAUGUAGUCCCUUUAUAUGGAUGUCAUCUAGCUUCUUCCCUAUUUAGCUCAGCAAAACUCUUGGGUUCAACUCUCUAUAUCUCUCUUCAAAAAAUGAAGCUCACUUUUCGUUUUAUCUCAGCAGUUGCGCUUUUGUUCAUGCUCCUCGUCGCCACAGGUUCAGAUGUCAUAUCACCAUGAUAUUUCUAAAUAAAAAUCUCAUGUCAGUAUGCAAUAUUCGUCAGUGUUUGGCUAUAGUUAUGUAUAUUCUUGUAUAUGAUUACUUUGUGUUAUACCUUUAGGGAUGGGUCCGGUGACGGCGAAGGCACGCAUGUGUGAAACGAGUAGCCAGUUGUUCAAUGGACCGUGUCUGAGCACAACCAAUUGCGCCAAUAUUUGCCAGAAUGAAGGUUUUCCAGAUGGUGACUGCAAAGGAUUCCGCCUUCGCUGCAUCUGCAACAGACCAUGUUGAUGAAAGACAAGUUACAAAGGAAACAGACCAUGUUGAUCCAUGAUCGUUUUAUGUUGUUUUUUUUUUCUUUCUAUUUUAUCCUUAGUCCUUCAAAUGACUUAAUGGGAUAUAAAUCUCGAAAGCCCUUUAGUUUGUGUAUUUCAAUUUUCUUCUGAGGUUAAAUUAUAAUAACACAGUUUAGCAAGUUGUAAGUUUUAUAAACUAUGACUCAUUGACUUGUCAUCUUUCUUCGCAUAGGAGAUUUAUUCAGUCUAGAAGUUGAAUUAAUUUGAUAUUAGUAGGUUUUAUAUGAUUUUGGAUAAAUCGAGAAUUCACUAUGAUUUUAGUUAAACCACUUUAAAGUCUCAUCUAAAAAAAUUGACUUUUAUUUUUACUUUAAUUAAGAAAAUCAAGCAAAACACUUUAAAAUUACUAGAAGAAUCAUAAAAUUCACAAUUUUUUUAGUAACAGAAUUUCAAAAUAGUUUACCAAAUAGUAAAUUCAAUAAUAGUAGAUUUUUGAAUCAAUUUUAAAAUUCAUGUUUGAGUAACCGUUGAUUUUUUUUAGUUCAAAUCACCCCAAACUUUCAAUUUAAUAAACCCCCUAUUCUAAUGACAUCCAUAUAUAUAUAUAUAUACAUGCCUUUCUUUGUGUUUGAUUUACAUUUAUUUACAACACUUAUUUUUAUUUGUUGGUCACGGCAAAUCAGUCACAAAACAGUCACUAAUUAGUCGUAAAAUUUAAGAAACUGAGUCACUGAUCAGUUGUUAUUCGGUAGCAGAAAUAUACCAACUGUUUUCCUACUAAUAUAAUUAGUCGCCACUGUAGUUGGUAAUUGUGUCGUUAUAUCAGCCGUCAAAUUGAGUCGUGAAAUUCAGACGUCAAAUUGAGUCGUUGAAAAAGUCACUAAGCCGUUGUAUUAUAGUCACUAAAUAAGUCGUAAAUCGGUCGCUAAAUUGCCUACUUAUUAGCGACUGGAGUCACGACUGCCCCAAAUAGUAGCAAAACAGUCGCUAAAUACCGACUGUUUUACGAUUGAAUAAUUUAGCGACGAGGUGUAUUUAGACGACUCAAAUCAGUCGUAAAUCAGUCGCAUAUGUCCAUUUAGCGACUGAUUACCGACUCAUAUCAUAGUCGGUAAUAACGUGUUUUCUUGUAGUGCAUCGAAUAUAUUUCUAUUGAUAUCUUUCAUGUUGCAGAUGAAUGUUUUCCAGAUUUAUCAGUAUUGUUAUUUUAUAUGAUUUUUAUAUAUUUGUCAUAUACUCAUGUAGAUCAAUAUUAACGAUAUUGAGGACCAAAAAAGUGAGAAGCCCAUGAAGCGUGAUGUGAGUAUACGAGGAGAUGAAAUAUUAAUGGAGGAAAAACCAGUUAAUCAUGUUGAAAGAUUAGAGAAUACAAGCAAGAAUGAUCGGGGUUCAUAUGUUUUUUAAAUGAAUGUUGAAAUCUAUUACCAGAAGAUGACGAUAUCCCAAAAAAUAGGUUUACAUAUAAUAUACUUUGAACCACAUUUUCUAAACCGUAUCAAUACUUUCGGAUAGGUGAAUUGUUAAGACAAGGUUGUUAUUAUAUUCAUGCAUUCUUCUACUUUUCUCUAUUAAUGUAUUGUUGAGAUAAGACAAGAUUAAUGUUAUUAUAUUCCUGUAUUCUUUUAUCUUUUUUCUGUUAAGAUGAAAAUGCUCUAAUUUUAUUGAUCCUAUAAUUUACUUGGCAAAGAAGACGUGUUUUGAGAUUACCUUACUAACCGCUCUCCACUAUCACAUUUGCAAUCUCGGUUCUCUCGUAUGUGAAUGUUACUACGCUCUUCACUAUCACAUUUUCAAUCUUGGUUCUCUCGUAUGUGAAUGUUACUCAACUCCACCUAUGACUUAACUGUUCUAAAUUACCAUAUUUUCAAUACUCUGUUGGUGUUCAUAUAUCGUGCGGUUAUCCUAAUCAAAACUCGCGAGGUUAUUAUUUUAUAUUAUUAUGGUAUAUACAGAUGUGGUAUCAUCUACAUUAUAACGGUCCGGUUCCUGGCCCAAAAAUUUUCAUAAAAGAAUGGACUUCUCUACGGCCCAUUUGACAAAAACCUAAGGUGCCCUUCAUCCUUUCCUAUAAAAAGAGAUGCAACCCUUAUUUUCUCUCAUUCUGAAACUUGAGCGAAGCUCUGCAGAGAUUUAGAGAGACUAGGAAACCCUAGCCGUCAAGCUUCUCUUUUCCUUUUCUCUCUUCUUCUCUCACGCCUCUCUCUCUCCCUCUCCUUUCUCUUUCUGUUGGAUCUCUUCCUCUCUCCUCGCCGAGAGUCCCCCGAGAGCAAGCCGAGCCGCCGGUGGUGGCUGUGUGGUGUUGUGGUGGUGACCAGAUCUCGUCUCUCUUGUUUACUUGUUCCAGAUCUGUUCAGAUCUCAUCCCCUUUGUCUCUUGCUCCAGAUCCAGAUCCAGAUCUAGGCUAAGGUGGAGUGUCUCAAACCCAACCUUCUCUCAUGAUUCUGUAUACUCCUCUAUGUUGGAGUUAGGUUUGAUUAGACUCUGUUUGAGAGCUAGGUUGAUAGAAUAUGUUUAUUGCUAGGAUGAUAAAUGAAUGGAUCACGAUGCAUAAGAACUCUCAUACUGUUAAAUGAGACUUAAUGAACUGUCUUGUGUUGUUGUGGUGAUGAUUGAUUGGUAAUUAAUACUCGUAUGUUUGGAUGUGUAGUCCCAUGAGUUGUUUGUGAUUAAAGCUAGGAUGCUGGAAAGAAGUGAAUGCUAAGAUGAUAGAUGACUACGGAUUGUUAUUGAUACUGUAAGUGAAACCUGAGUGUGAUGUGUAUUGUGUGUGACACCGAUAACGGGUGGCGACUAGUGAAUGCGUUCAAGUACGAAUCUAAGUGUAAAGGAAAGGGAAUGAGAAUGAGAAUGGAUAAGUGAAAUGUGAAAGGAUAAGUGAAUGUAUAAGUGAAUAACGUUAAGGUUAAGCAUGGGUUGGGAAAUCAUAUAGAGUCUAGAGGGAGUACGUGGGGUAGUAGUUCUACGCUAGGCAUCCAUAGGAGCUGUGGUGGAAUCCACAAGAAUAUGGAGGCACCCAUAGGAGCUGUGGUGGAAUCCACAAGAAUAUGGGGUAGAAGUCUAGUGAGAGCUACCCACGGAGAAAAGAGAAAAGAUGAGCCAGCCGCGAGAGGCGGGAUAUAAAAACGUGCAUUGUAGAGUCCUUAGUUCAUGGUCGGGUAUCUGGGUGUUAAAGUUGUCAUAAGAUUGAGUCGGUCUUGUAUGUCGAGUCGGUUAAGUCUAUGGUUUGACGUGUGUGACAAUGAGUGAGAUUAUUGUACUGAUUGAUCGCUAGGUUGUUAGAAAUGUAUAGAAUCGAAUGUGUGGAAAUAAAUGAUGAUGAUAUGAAAUGUUAAGAUGCAUCAACUGAUUGUAGUGGCUAGUCAACCCUAGUUCCCGCAUAGAGUAGUAUAGAGUGUCAUGCGGGCAGGUUGGUCCAGAGUCACUUCACUGAGUAACUUGUUGCUCAUCCCUCCCUUUCUAUUUUCCUGUGCGCAGGACUGUAAGUAGAAGUAUAUGGAUGUGGGUGUGACGGUAUUUCAAAGAAGGUUAUGUGUCCGUCGACUCUUGGGACCAGUAACGGGACACAUAUGGUUGUCUAAAUGAGUAGACACGUGUCCAUAACGCCUUUUCGAUAACCCCGGUCGGACACCGGGGGAUCGGGCCAUUACAAUUGGUAUCAGAGAGGGUGGCCAUUACAAUUGGUAUCAGAGCGGGUUAAGAUCCCUUAGUUUUGUCCUAAGGGAUCAGCAUUUCCGACGUUUUCAAAAAAAAAAAAAAAACUUGUUUUCAUUAAAAGAAAAGAGUCUGUGAAAGUUUUGAUUCUCUUAAAAGUUCCGUAAACGAUUUCAAAACCACCCACUAUAUCUAUACGACUAAUAUGGUUUUGAUUAGAUACAUUUUACUCGCAGAAUUUCUUUCUAAGCUUAAUUCAUACUUUGGUUUUUAAACGAUCCCGAACAAAGUUGUUCUCGCCUUUUGUGCCUCCCUUGUAUGAUAUGUGAUUGUGUGAGUCCAUUUCGAAAUCGGAUGUUAAGUUCGGAAGUCUAGGGCUUGGAAUUCGGGGAAGAAUUCCGAUUAACAGGGGGAGAUUGUAACAGCCCGGUUCCUGGCCCAAAAAUUUUCAUAAAAGAAUGGGCUUCUCUACGGCCCAUUUGACAAAAACCUAGGGUUCCCUUCAUCCUUCCUAUAAAAAGAGAUGCAGCCCUUCUUUUCUCUCAUUCUGAAACUUGAGCGAAGCUCUGCAGAGAUUUAGAGAAACUAGAAAACCCUAGCCGUCAAGCUUCUCAUUUCCUUUUCUCUCUUCUUCUCUCACGCCUCUCUCUCUCUCUCCCUCUCCUUUCUCUUUCUGUUGGAUCUCUUCCUCUCUCCUCGCCGAGAGUCCCCCGAGAGCAAGCCGAGCCGCCGGUGGUGGCUAUGUGGUGUUGUGGUGGUGACCAGAUCUUGUCUCUCUUGUUUACUUGUUCCAGAUCUGUUCAGAUCUCAUCCCCUUUGUCUCUUGUUCCAGAUCCAGAUCCAGAUCUAGGCUAAGGUGGAGUGUCUCGAACCCAACCUUCUCUCAUGAUUCUGUAUACUCCUCUAUGUUGGAGUUAGGUUUGAUUAGACCCUGUUUGAGAGCUAGGUUGAUAGAAUAUGUUUAUUGCUAGGAUGAUAGAUGAAUGGAUCACGAUGCAUAAGAACUCUCAUACUGUUAAAUGGGACUUAAUGAACUGUCUUGUGUUGUUGUGGUGAUGAUUGAUUGGUAAUUGAUACUCGUAUGUUUGGAUGUGUAGUCCCAUGAGUGGUUUAUGAUUAAAGCUAGGAUGCUAGAAAGAAAUGAAUGCUAAGAUGAUAGAUGACUACGGCUUGUUAUUGAUACUGUAAGUGAAACCUGAGUGUGAUGUGUAUUGUGUGUGACACCGAUAACGGGUGGCGUCUAGUGAAUGAGUUAAAGUACGAGUCUAAGUGUAAAGGAAAGGGAAUGAGAAUGAGAAUGGAUAAGUGAAAGUGAAUAAGGAUGUGAAAGGAUAAGUGAAUAUAUAAGUGAAUAACGUUAAGGUUAAGCAUGGGUUGGGAAAUCAUACAGAGUCUAAAGGGAGUACGUGGGGUAGUAGUUCUACGCUAGGCAUCCAUAGGAGCUGUGGUGGAAUCCACAAGAAUAUGGAGGCACCCAUAGGAGCUGUGGAGGAAUCCACAAGAAUAUGGGGUAGAAGUCUAGCGAGAGCUACCCACGGAGAAAAGAGAAAAGACGAGCCAGCCGCGAGAGGCGGGAUAUAAAAACGUGCAUUGUAGAGUCCUUAGUUCAUGGUCGGGUAUCUGGGUGUUAAAUGUGUCAUAAGAUUGAGUCGGUCUUGUAUGUUAGUCGGUUAAGUCUAUGGUUUGACGUGUGUGACAAUGAGUGAGAUCAUUGUACUGAUUGAUCGCUAGGUUGUUAGAAAUGUAUAGAAUCGAAUGUGUGGAAAUAAAUGAUGAUGAUAUGAAAUGUUAAGAAGCAUCAACUGAUUGUAGUGGCUAGUCAGCCCUAGUUCCCGCAUAGAGUAGUUUAGAGUGUCAUUCGGGCAGGCUGGUCUAGAGUCACUUCACUGAGUAACUUGUUACUCAUCCCUCCCUUUCCAUCUCCCUGUGCGCAGGACUGUAAGUAGAAGUAUAUGGAUGUGGGUGUGACGGUAUUUCAAAGAAGGUUAUGCGUCCGUCGACUCUUGGGAUCUGUAACGGGACACAUAUGGUUGUCUAAAUGAGUAGACACGUGUCCAUAACGCCCUUUCGAUAACCCCGGUCGGACGCCGGGGGAUCGGGCCGUUACAAUCUACAUAUAUUGUUAUGUUUUCAUUGUUGAUUGUUAAAUUGAUGUAAGGUUUAUAUGAAAACGUAUAAUGUUUAGUUUGUAUAGUUUUGUGUUGAUUAUAGAAGAGGACAUGUCAGGUUGCUUUUUAGGGUUUUCUUUUUAAGGUUUAGUUCAAUGUAUGAUACUAUAUAUUUUUGGAAUUGAUAUAUUUAAAACCACAUAUAAUAUGAUUUCAGUUUUCAAAUAGUUUCUAUAAUCUUUUUUUUUUUUUGCAGCAAACGGCUAUUUUAUUACUCAAGCUUGAGGUGGUCUGGGAAGCCAGACCGGAAUAGAACAACCAAUAACACAUAAGGGUCUAUGAAAAGAGCGUGCAUUCCUAGCUAACGAAUCUGCUAAUUCAUUUUGCGUCCUUGAAAAGUAGCUUAUCGUGAAGUCUGAAAAACACAACCGAAGAGUUUGAAUUGUUUCCAGUUCAGUUGAGAAAUUGGGCUAAGCUUGUGGCUGUUCUAUCAUUGCAAUCAGAUCCUUGCAAUCCGUCCCAAACCUCUGACAGAUCGAGUGUUGUAGCAUGCUCUCCAUUGCCCACUGUAGCGGUUCCAGUUCCGAAUGUAAAGUUGUUUGCCUCCUCCUCAGGUUUCUUAACCCCAUGAGUUGAAUCUUACCCAUGGUAUCCUUCCAAACCCAUCUCAUCCCACUAAACUGAGCUGUAGAGGUUCAUGAACCAUCCACCAUACAAAUAUUACCCAAGCUUAAGGCUUGUGUUUCUUCAGUAGUUUGUACAUGUGUCGGAAUCGGCAUAGAGUCUCGCGCAUUGUACCAAACUUGACACUCACUCUCUGCAUACCUGACUAGUUCCAAAGGGUCCCUGUCUAUGCCUGUAAACAACUUAUCAUUCCUAGCUUUCCAGAUGUACCAAAUUAUCCAAGGAUAGGGAUCUCUAUCAUCUUCUGGCUCCAGAAUACCAUUCUUUCUCCAGAAAAGAUAGUCCAUGUUAGCAUAAAUACUUGAUACAGGGAAGAUUUGAGAUCUCGACGGUGUUACUGAUAGCUCCCAUGCUUGUAAGGCAGGUGUACACUCAAAGAUAGCAUGAGUAACGGUCUCUUCUGGCGUUCCACAUCUUGGGCAAUAGUUAUCACAGCGCAUAUGACGACGUACCAAAUUCCUUGUUACUGCUAUCUGUCCUGAUAUUAGUUGCCAUAUAAGAUGACAUAUCUUUUGUGGCGCAUUCACCUUCCAAGCAAAGGCUUGAAGUCUUGUAAUGCUGGGUUGUAGAACUUCUAUUUUCUCCUCUUUUCUCAUCAAGUUUGUAGCAACCCAAUAUCCUGACUUAACAGUAUAUUGUCUGUUCUUUGUAUGACUCCAGCAAACAGUAUCUCGUCGAUGGUUAGGGCUUAUGGCCAACUCAAAAUCAUUGGAAUAUCCUCUUGAGCUACAUAUUGUUCCAGCAAACUAACAUCCCACUCCUUUGAAACAGGAUUGAUAAGACUGCUUACGGUCAUCUUUGGGUUUACUACUGGGGCCCUGGCAUGAGCCAAUCUAGAUGGGGUCAAAGGGAUCCAAGGAUCCCCCCCCACACAUUAAUUUCAUACCCUGAAUGCACUUUGCUUCUGAUGCCCAGAAGUAAAAGCUUCCUCGCGGCAAUAAUACUCGUCCAUACAUACGAUGGGGUAUCUGCUGUACUAACUCGCAGCGGCGAACUCAGACUGUAAUAUCUUCCCCGAAGAACUCUCGCUACUAGUGAAUCCGGAAAUUGAACGAGACGCCAAAGCUGUUUAGCUAGAAGCGCUAGAUUAAAUUCAUGGAUCAUACGGAAACCAAUUCCUCCCUCCUCCCGAGGUGCACACAUUUUUUCCCAUUUUGCCCAAUGGAUUCCUCUUUUCGGAGGAUUCGAGCUCCACCAGAAUUGUGCAAUGGCACUUGCUAAAUUCUCACAUAUCUCUAAAGGAAGCAGAAAGCUGGACAUGACAUAAGUCGGCAGAGCUAGCAGUAUCGAUUUAAUCAAAACCUCUUUUCCUCCCUUAGAUAACCAACUACUAGUCCAGCCAUUCACUCUGUGUAGGAGCUUCUCCUUUAAUAAAGCAAAUAAUUUACACUUUGAUCCACUGAUAUCCUCUAGGAUUCCUAAGUAGGAUCCCAUCCCGCCUUCAUUUUGUAUACCAAGAGUAUCCUUGAUCUGCUGUCUAUCAUUCGCUGGAAUCCUUUUACCAAAGAGUAAUGAGGAUUUGUCAAAAUUAAUACGUUGACCUGAUGCUUUCUCAUAUUUUCUGACUACUUUCAUAACUUCUUCACAUUCACGGGGCUCCACCUUACAGAAGAAAAGGCUAUCAUCAGCAAAGAGAAGGUGAGAUACCGAGGGGCUAGCUCGAGCGACUCGCAUCCCCGUUAUCUUCCCUUGAUUCUCUGCUUGAUUAAGAAGGCUAACGAAUGCUUCCGUACAUAAAAUAAAUAUGAAAGGAGACAAAGGAUCUCCUUGUCGUAGUCCGGGACGAUGUUUCCCCUUGUUUCUAUAAUCAAAACACUAUAUAUUGUGAUAAUAAUUGAAUGAUGACCACUUUAAAUUAGAUAUUAAUUUUUUGAUAGUUUCUAUAAACUAUUUGAAACUAUAUUUUUUUCUGCGAUAUUCUCUCACACAUAAGAAACGUUAAAUCAUCUAGUGAAAGUAGUUUCCUAUUAAAACUGAUAUUGUUUCUAUAAACUCCACUUAAAAUAGGUUACUUUAGUUACAAAUAUAAAGAAAAAUAUUAAUUCUUUCUAAAACUAAAACGAUACUUUUUCUAUUAAAAUAUGUUAACAUAUUUUAUUUUAACUGUAAAGAUAUAGAUACUUUUAUANNNNNNNNNNNNNNNNNNNNNNNNNNNNNNNNNNNNNNNNNNNNNNNNNNNNNNNNNNNNNNNNNNNNNNNNNNNNNNNNNNNNNNNNNNNNNNNNNNNNUCAUAUAACUCGUCCGUACAUUGCAUCAUUCCAUAAAGCUUCUUUGUCCCGAUCAUCGUCUCCCCUGUUGCGUACAGUGGCCCCUUCCCGUUUUUGCCCAACUUUUUGACUUCAGACAAUAGCUUUUCGGUGAAAGCAACCUUCUUCUUAAUGAACAUCUGCGUAUCUCCGCUCAGGUCCUUUGGGUUCUCCUUACAAAAAUAAUUAUCGUAGAGGAUUCUGCUGUCGCCGGCACUGUAUGUAGAAAUAUCCAGAGUGCAUUGGUCAUACCAUAUUGUUCCUGCUUUGUUUCUCGGACAUUUCUUACGAAGCUGUCAUAUAUAUAGCGACACAACGUCGAUAAAGAAGAAUAUUGCGUUAAGUAUAUUACGUAUAUAAUACAGUUUUUUUUUUGUUUUCUUCCAGCCCUAAAAGUGUAUCAGAUUAUGUCAGUUAAACGUUCUACGUAGAGUACAAGAAUUUUCAUCAAAGUCGGAUAUGAUAUUUUGGGGAACAUAAACAUUUAAUAAGAAUUUUAAGAACUUUUCAUAAUAUAUUUGGUAACUUUUUUUGUAUAUACUACAUAAGUUUUAAUAUUUUUUUGAGUUAAAGCCAAUGUUUUACUGAGCUAUUACUGGGAUCUGGCCCGUUUGUAUAUGUUCAUACUUGAGUGCUAAUAAGAUAAUAGUGAAGUGAUGUUACCCCAGAGAGGGCUGUGGCGAGGCACGAGCGACACUUAGACCCGUAGGAGUCGCCACGACACUGGAGCAUGACGAAGGCGGUAUCGGGAGGUAUAUUUUUGUAGGGUCUAUCCAUAUUAGAGUCAAGGGCGAAACCUUUGUGCAGAUUAAAGGCGGAUAUAUUUUUGAGGGCGAUAUUGAGAUUUUUCUCGAACACACUCCCUGGCUUGAAUUUCCCUUGGGUGUUGUUGCAUGCGUGGUGGAUAUACUCAUUGGUAACGUUGAGGGAAGAAACAACGCUGGGUAUAAGGAGGAGUUGUAUGGCCACCACGGCCAAGAUAGGGGCCGAUCCAAAAAUUGAAGGCAUUGUUUGUGAUCUUUGAGAAGUGGAGAUGUUUAUAUAGGAGACUUGAUGAGAAUUUUAGAGUUGAAGUGAUUAUGAUUCCUUUUUUAAUUUCUACUUUGGUGACCUUAAAAAAAUUCGAUUCAUCAUCUUAGUUUGUAUAUAUAAGAAAUGUUUUAGUCUGAGAGAGGAGAGUGGUUGAGAACUUUAGUAUAUGCGGCGAGAGAACAGGGCUGAUGGAAAAAGUCAAAGUUGGACAAUUUUUUUAGAACCGUACGUUUUCAACCUGAAAUAAAAGGCAGUAGUAAUUUAUUACGAAACUAAACCCACAAGCUUCGGACAGAAGUGGAUCAAGAGGAGAGCAGAUCUGAAGGACCUUCCUUUUAAACCUGCAAAACUAAAGAAACGAGAUCUACCAAAAAGCAACUAGAGGCAAAAUCCUCACAAAAGCAAGGAGACAAUAGAAAACUCAAAUCGAAGUAACACUACAGUCACUACAAGAAAACAGCAAGGAUUCUGAGGGAAAAAAUCGUCGGAAUUUCGUCGGAAUAUCGUUAUUCCGACGACAUACCGACGAAACAAGUCGUCGGAAAUAAUUCUUCGGAAUUUCUUCUUUCCUCGGAAAUCCCUCGGAAUUUUCCGACGGAAUUCCGAGAAAACAAACUUCCGAGGAAAUUCCGAGGACCACUAGUUUGUCGGAAAUGUCCUCGGAAUAUACCGAGGGAGAACUUCGUCGGGAUAUUUCCUCGGACGUUCAUCGAUCGAUGCGUUUUGGACAUAUAUACAUCGAUCGAUAGGAAUAUACCGAGCGUUUUUUUGUAAACAGAUCGAUCGAUGGAUUUAUGUCCAAAAACGCAUCGAUCGAUCGGGUAAAAAAUAUAAUUAAUUUUCUCGAAAUGUAAAAAAUAUUAUUUUUUUAAAAAAAAUAAAAUUUCUGAAAUUUAAAUUCGAAAAUAUGAAAUUAAAAUUAAAAUUGAAAUCAUAUUAAUUAAUAUUCAAAGUUUCACAAAUAAAAAUAAAACAUUCCGAGUUUUUGGAAAAAAAAAAAAAAAAAAUCUACGGGUCUGGCACGUCCGGGAACACCUCGUUCGGGUACAUCCUCUGCAUCAUCUCCAUCAUUUGCUGGUUCAGCCUCCUCUGUGCCUCAUAGCCCGCCUGUUGAGCCGCCAUCUGGGUCUCUAACAAAGAUAUACGAUCAUCUUUGUCCUUCAACUGAGCCGUAAGUACUUCUGGAUCAACAAAGGGCGGUGGUGCAGAAGAAGGAGGAACCGACCGGGUGCGACGACCCAAACCGACCAAACAUCCCUUCUUCUUUGGAACCGACUGAAUAGAAAAUAGCCAAAUUUACAAAUUUAAACCAAAAAAUAAAUGAAUUGAACUUUAAAAAAAAAGAACUUACGGAUUCAACGAUUUCGUUGAUUCGAAACCGGGACAAGUUGGUCGAAGCCGUCGAAGCGUCAUCCUCGGUUUGAAGCUGAGACACUUCGUCUACCAUCUGAGUUUGGACCAGGUCGACCACGUCCCUCACAAGACCGUCAUCAAUCUGGCCGGUCUUCUUGUUGGUAUACGCCCUCCUCAUUAGGGCGAGAUCAUCAACCGGCUCGCCAUCAUUUUCUUCCGCCUUGAAAAAAAACAUAAAUUAAAGAAACAUUAGAAAUUAGAAGAAAUGUACAAUAAAUUAAAAUUCUGAAACUCAAAUAAUUGAAGAAAAAACGUUUGAACUUGCCAUGCGAUCUCCCAGAGUGGCAAUAGAUUGAGCACCCAAGUUAUGCUUGUAGAUGCCCUUCCCUUUACGGUCGCUCCUGCGGUUGGUGGAGUUGGUGGAAGAAGUUUCUUUCGUCUCUUCCUUAUCCCAAUGCGCACACAACUCCUUCCAGACCGUGUCGUUCAUCGACUUUGGGACCUUUUAAUAAAAAAAAAAAAAAUAGUUUAUUAAAUUUAAAAAUAGUUUAAUAAAUUAAAAAAUUGUUUAAUAAAUUAAAUCAAACCUUAUUGAUUUCCCACUUUUUCUUCCACUCGUGGAUCUGCUUCCCAUAGUUGUCCAUAACUUUAUGGAUGACGUGGUGAUAGAUAAAGAGCGUCUCAUCGGAAUUCCAGUUGAACUCUAGCUGAAAAAAAAAACACAAUUAGUAGAAAAUUUAUAUUAAAGAUUAAAAAUAUAAGUAAAAAAUUAGAAUAUCCUCGGAAUAUUCCGAGGAAAUACCGAGGAACUAGUGUUUGGGGUUUCAAAACAUCAAAUUUUUUUGGGGUUUUUCAUUUCUUAUACAAUUGUAAUGUAUACCAUUGAGGAUUCUUUGUAUAGAUUAGCAUAAACUAUGAAAUAACAAAUUUCAAAACUAAUUGAAAGUAUUCCCUAUACCGUUCAUUAAAACGUAUAAUUAAGUGUUUCUCUUAUGUUGUGGGAUUUCGUUCAUACAAUUGGAAAAGUGUUAAUUAAGGGGUAAGGAACAAAUUUUAGACUUCAUAAGUAACGUAAGACACUUAAUAAGGGUUAUAUAGGUGUUAUUCAAACCGCAAAACGUUUUUUUCGGUUUACAACCCCUAUUUCCUCGGAAUUUCCUCAGACUAUUCCGAGGAAACCCUUUUCUUCCUCGUAAUUCCGUCGGAAUAUUCCGAGGAAAUUCCGAGGAACUAGUGUUUGGGGUUUCAAUCUUGUACGUUUUUUUAUAAACAAAUCGAUCGAUGCGUUUUUUGUCCAAAACACAUCGAUCGAUCACCAGAUGGACGAAAGCCGUAAGAAUGUGAUCGAUCGAUUAGAUUAUACCAUCGAUCGAUCGAACAAAAUCUCAGACCUUCCUCGGAAUAUCCUCGGAAAAUCUUGUACGUUUUGUUAUAAACGGAUCGAUCGAUGCGUUUGUAUAGAAUCGAUCGAUCACCAGAUGGACGAAAGACGUAAGAAUGUGAUCGAUCGAACAAAAUCUGAAGCCUUCUUCGGAAUAUCCUCGGAAAAUAUUGUAUGUUUUGUUAUAAACGCAUCGAUCGAUGCGUUUAUGUGAAAAAACGCAUCGAUCGAUGCGUGUGCGAACAGACUUAUAAGGCAAAACCCGACCUUUUUGGAUCUAAACCUCAGAACUCUCACCCCCUCCGAUUUCCCCUAUAAUUCGACCCCCCCCCCCUUUUUCUCUCUCUAUAAUCAUCCGAUUUGAACAAUUUUGGGCUCUAUUCCCCUUGAUUUUUCGAGCUCUACCUGAUUCCUACACUCGUUUUCACCCUAAGACAGGUAUACUCCGCGAAUCUCCGAGUCAUCAUCACUAGAUGAAUCUGAAUCUGAAUCUGGAUCUUGGAUCUCCGAGUCAUCAUCACUAGCUCUAUAAUCAAUGGUAUUCUGUUUCUGAGUCAUCAUCACUAGAUGAAUCUGAAUCUGGAUCUUGGUGAAACUCUCCAAUCACUGGUUCAUCCUCUACGUGAACGACGGCUUCCUCUCCGUAGUCGGUUAAAUCGACUAAAAGGCCAACUCCAGCUAAAUCUUCUGCUGCACUUAAGUUGCCGGAUGUGCUUGGUUGUAGUGGGUCUUCCAGCUCAGAACUUCCAUGAACUCGGCCUCUCGGGUUGAGUCUUGUAACAGUAACCCAUGGAUCAUCUCUGUUCCUUACCCGGGGGUACUUGAUAUAACAAACCUGUAACAUUUAGAAAAAUUAUAAAUUAAUACACAUGAUGAUGAAUCAUUCUGAAUAAUUAACAUUUAAUUACCUGAUCGGCCUGAGAAGCAAGAAUGAAAGGAUCAUAAUAUUGCAGCUUUCGCCUCGAAUUUAUUGAUGUAACACCAAAUGCAUCUGUUCUCACACCUCGAUCUGGAGUGUUGUCGUGCCAAUCACAAUAGAAAACAGUACAGCGCAAUCCAACCAUGCCCAAAUACUUGAUUUCCAAAAUCUCAUGUAUGUGUCCGUAGUAUACAUCAUCUCCUGAUGCAGAACAAACGCCAGCAUCAUAAGUCGUACUCGAACGUCUCCUCUUCUAAGUUGUGAAUGCAUAUCCUCGAGUACAAAAUCUCGGAUAUGACUUCACAACAAAGUUUGGUCCAACGACCAUCUCGCGUAUCCAAUCGUCAAAUGUUUCACCUCUGGCCAAACCAGCAGACACCUAUUAAUAGCACAUAUAUAUGUUAUAUCAAUAAAUGUGAAUUAGUAUAAAUAUGUGAUAAAUGAUAUUUUAAUUUGUUUAAAGCACUCACAUAAAUAAACAUCCAUCUAGCAAAAUCUCUCUGCUUCAUUUCUUCUAAUUCGUCCUCUGUGGCGUAUCUAUAUUCGAACCGCUUUUCUGCCAUGAAAAUCCUGUACAUAUGAUGACAAUAAUGUAAUUAAUUAAGAUUUAAAUUUCAACUUGUUAAAAUAAAAAUUUGUAAGCUAAUUUAUUUACCUCUCAUAUUGAAGAACAUCUUCGCAGUUGGUGAGCAAAUAUGUUUGCAAAUGACUGCGCUCCUGCUCAGUAAGUCGACGGUCCUUUGGUUUUCCGCUAAGUCGCCCAACGUCUGUGAAAAUGUCUGGAACCGUAACAGGAUAUGUUGCCCGUUCGCCUCUAUCAUCAUGCCGAGCAGGUCUUCUGUUUUUGGUCUGAACUUCUGCUGGAAAGUAGUACUCGGCAAAGUUUGAAGUUUCUUCAUUGAUCAUCUGUGCGACUAUAGAACCUUCCACCCUACUUAAAUUUUUCACCAUCUUCUUCAAAUGGAACAUAUACCGCUCAUACAGAUACAUCCAUCUAUACUGCACAGGACCACCAAGUUCCAAUUCUCUUGCCAGGUGAAUAACAAGAUGCUCCAUAAUAUCAAAAAAUGAAGGAGGAAAUAUCUUCUCUAGGUUGCACUGAAUCACGGCUAUGUUAGUCUUCAAAUUUUCAAUACCUUCAAGAGUCACUGAUCUCGUGCAUAAAUCGCGGAAGAAACCACUUAUCCCUGCAAUUGCUUCAUGAACAUUUCGUGGUAAUAGUUCCUUGAAGGCAAACGGAAGGAGGCGCUGCAUCAUUACAUGGCAAUCGUGGCUUUUCAAGCCAGUAAACUUUCCUUCCUUUCUGUCGAUACAGUUACGCAAAUUAGAUGCGUAACCGUCUGGAAAUUCCACAUCGUUUGAAAUCCAAUCAAAGAACGCAUCUUUUCCCUCUGCAUCAAGUCGGUAUAUGGGAAAAGGAGCCCUACCAUUCUCAUCAACAUGAAGUUCUGAACGAGCUCAUAUAUCGACUAAAUCCUGUCUUGACUUCAAAUUAUCCUUUGUUUUACCUUGAACAUUAAGGAUCGUGUUCAUGAGAUUGUCAAAAAAGUUCUUCUCAAUAUGCAUGACAUCUAAAUUAUGCCUUAGCAGAUGAUCCUCCCAGUAUGGCAAAUCCCAGAAAAUAUUUUUUUUGUGCCAGUUAUGUAGUUCUCCAACAGCAUCUACCGGAAAACGCUCAUGUCCACCGACAUCUGGCUUCCUUUCUGCACCAAAAUCUCUUAAUUGUAUCUUCAAAUCUUUCCCACAAAUUUCCGGAGGUGGACUGUCAAACACCCUCUUGUUCUUCGUAAACAAAUUCCUACUCCUACGAUAUGGAUGAUCAGGUGGUAGGAAUCUCCUGUGACAGUCAAACCAACACGUUUUCCUUCCGUGUUUUAGUUGAAAAGCAUCAGUGUUAUCUUGACAAUAUGGACAUGAUAGCCUUCCAUGCGUUGUCCAUCCAGACAACAUACCAUAUGUUGGAAAAUCACUUAUUGUCCACAUUAGUACUGCCCGCAUUUGAAAGUUUUCUUUACACGAAACAUCGUAUGUUUCAGCACCUUGAGCCCAUAGUUGUUGCAACUCAUAUAUUAGUGGCUGAAGAAACACAUCAAGUGAUCUCUUAGGAUGCUCUGGUCCGGGAACGAGAAUCGAGAGAAACAAAAACUCUCGUCGCAAGCACAAGUUUGGGGGUAGGUUGUAUGGUGUAAGAAUGACGGGCCAUAGAGAAUACUGUCUUCCACUCUUGCCAAACGGACUGAAACCAUCAGUACAUAAUCCAAGGUAGACAUUUCUUCUCUCAUACGCAAAGUCGGGAUACUUUGAUUGGAAAUGCUUCCACGCUUUUGCAUCUGAAGGAUGUCUGAUCUCACCAUCUGUUGAGUGCUCCGCAUGCCAUCUCAUUGGUUGCGCUGUGCGUUCAGACAUAUACAACCUCUGCAACCUUUCCGUCAAAGGCAAAUACCACAUCCUUUUAUAUGGCACUGGAACUCUUCCACUCGUAUCUUUAUAACGAGGCUUCCCACAAAAUUUGCAUGUAACCCGCUGUUCAUUUGCCCUCCAAUAAAUCAUGCAGUUGUCGCUGCAUACAUCUAUUACUUGAUACGAUAAACCAAGACCAGCUACGAGUUUCUGAACCUCGUAGUAUGAACCAGGAGCUACUCCACAAAAUUUGCAUGUAACCCGCUGUUCAUCCGCCCUCCAAUAAAUCAUGCAGUUGUCGCUGCAUACAUCUAUUACCUGAUACGAUAAACCAAGACCAGCUACGAGUUUCUGAACCUCGUAGUAUGAACCAGGAGCUACAUUAUCCUCGGGUAGAAUACCUUUUACAAAAUCAGCAAUCGCAUCCACACAGUCUUCAGCCAAAUUAUAAUCUGUUUUAAUGCCCAUCAAUCUUGUAGCAGAUGAUAAAGCUGAAUGACCAUCUCUGCAACCUUCGUACAAUGGUUGCUUUCCAGCAUCCAACAUAUCAUAAAAUCUCCUAGCUUGUGCAUUGGGUAAAUCGUCCCCUCUAAAAUGAUCAUUUACCAUCUGCUCAGUACCUACACCAUAAUCUACAUCCGUUCUAAUUGGUUCUUCUAAUCUAACCGCUGGCUGAGGUUCGCUAGUACUACCAUGUUCAUAAUCAGUUUCCCCAUGAUGAUACCAAAUUUUGUAACUUCGUGUAAACCCACUCAAAUAUAGAUGAGUCCAAACAUCCCACUCUUUAAUAACCUUUCUAUUUUUACAAUUAGAGCAAGGACAUCUUAACUUACCUGUUUUUGCUUCCGGUUGUCGGUGAACUAACCCCAUGAAUUCGGUUAUACCUCGUUAGUAUUCUUCCGUAAGCAAUCUCGUGUUCGGAUCCAAAUGAGGUCGAUCGAUCCAAGAACGAAAAUAAUUUGAAGAAGACAUAUUUUUAUGAAUCAAAUUCGUGUGUAAAUAGAGUAAGAGGGAGGAUGAAGAUAUGGAGUGAAUGAAGAGGAAGAGGAGCUUGUAUUUAUAGGUUAAAUCCUGCCGACAAACCGAGGAAAUUCCGACGGAAUUCCGACGCCAACGGCUAGUCCGUCGGAAUUUCCUCGGAAUUAUGUAAAAUCCUCAAACGGCUCUCCAACGGCUCUAAUAUUUCCUCGGAAUUCAUCGGUUUUUUCCGAGGAAAAUAUAUUUCCUCGGAAUUUCCUCUGAAUAUUCCGACGGAUUGAUAUUUCCUCGGAAUCCCGUCGGUAUAUUCCGAGGAAAUUCCGAGGAAACCAAAUUUUGUGUUUCCUCGGAAAUACCUCGGAAAUUCCUCGGGAUAUUCCGAGGAUUUCAUUUUCCGUCGGAAUGUCCGUCAGAAUAUCGCUGUUUUCUUGUAGUGAGUGCAAAGAAGACACACAAAGAAGCUAAGAGCAUGUUUAUCGCAGGUUUCUUAGGUUGAGUCUCUUAGCGUAAUAUAAGAUACGGUAUCUUACCUUUUAACUAAAAAAGCUAAGAAACGUCUCUUAUAUCUUAUAUUUAAGAGACGUCUCUUAUAUCUUAUAUUUAAGAGACGUCUCUUACUUUUUUUAGUUGAAAGUUAAGAGAUUGUAUCUUAUAUUACGCUAAGAGAUCCAACCUAAGAGACCUACAAUAAACAUGCUGAGAGACCAAAAGAGGAAAGAAAAGUCAAAAUUGAUCGGAGAAAAAUAUAGCAAGCAAAAAAAAGAAAUAGAGAACUUAAAAUGUAAAGGAGAAGAAAUGUCUGAAUAUUACUGUCUCAUUUCUUGACUCAAGAUUAUACAGAAGCUUGCUAUUUAUAUAAAGAACACAAACCCUACGAGCCUCUACUGAAUGACUCAGUUUGAAUCACAGCUCCACAACUCGAAUCUAUUCUGCAGGUCUGGCUUGUGACGUUCUGGGUUAAACUUUUCAUUAAUGACUUUAUUCUUGUUUUCAAUUUUCUGUCUUGUCGCCGUUGCAGAAGUGAUUACUGUAAUGGGCUCUUCUUCUAUUUGUUCACUUGUGUCGAUGAGCUUUUCUUCCUCUAUUCUUUGACUCAAUCCCAUCGUCCUCUUUUGUGCUGACCUAACAUGCUUCUCUCUUCGCACUCUGUUCAUUGUUGUUGCCUUUGGCUUUACACCAAAGAGAAUACAGAAGCUUCUUUCCUAUGGUGACGUCGGAGGCGUACGCCGAGGAAAAAUUGAACCGUAAAAUAAAAAAGAAGAAGAAGAAAAAAACUCUUAGGAGAAAAAAUAUUAGUGUAGUGGCGACUGAGAUUUAGAUGAAGAAAUACAAUUCUUUGAAGUAUUCAUGUACGAAAAAGACUUAUAACUUUAAAAUUUACAUCUCCUCUUGUUCCCAAUCAAAAUGCCACCUACAUUAAUAAUAAAAUAGAUUAAUUUUAUUUUAAAAAAUCUGAAAUAAUUUAAAAAAAAUAAUAACACCAAUAUUAAUGAUACCAACGCCACUAACUAAACUCUAAACUUUAAAUCUAUACCCUAAACCCAAACCGUAAACCCUAAACCCAAACCCUAUAUCCUAAACCCAAAUCCUAAACCUUAAACCCAAACCGUAAACCCUAAACCCAAAUCAUAUAUCAUAAACCCAAAUCAUAGACUCUGAACUCAUACCAUAUAUCUAAACCUAAUCCCUACACCCUAAACUCAAAUCGUAAACCAUGAACCCAAAUCCUAUAUCCUAAAAGUUUGGGUCAAUGUUAGUGUUGUUUCUUUAUGGUUUAAGAUUUGGGUUUAGAGUCUAGGUUUGGGUUUAGGAUCUAGGGUUUGAGUUUAAGGUGUAGGGUUUGGGUUUGGAGUUUACGGUUUGGGUUUAGGGUUUAGGAUUUGGGUUUAAGAUAUAGGGUUUGAGUUUAGAGUUUAGAGUUUGGGUUUAGAAUUUAGGGUUUAGAUUUAAGGUUUAGGGUUUAGAAUUUAAGAUUUAGGGUUUAGUUAGUGGCGUUAGUGUCAUAAAAAUGAGCGUCAUUAUUUUUUUGAAUUAUUUUAGAUUUUUUUUUAAAAAAAUAAUGUAUUUUACUAUUAAUCUAUGUGGCAUUUUGAUCGGUAAUAAGAGAGAAUGUGAAUUUAAAGGUUCACCCCUAUUAUUAACACCUCUAUUAUUAACACCACAGUGCCAUGUAGGAUUAGGAGAAAAAUGAAUAUUAAAACUUAAAAAAAAGGAAAAUAGCUUAAAAAAAUAAAAGAACGUAGCUGUUAACGGUGUCGAUGGCUUCCUUCAUCGCCCACAGAGAAGAUGGAAACUGUGUUUGUCAAGUUGAGUCUCCAAUUCUAUGCUUUCAAAUCAAAUUUUGAUUUCUUCUCCAAUCCAAAUCAAGCCAUGUACGUCCGGUUCUACAAACAUAUCAUGACUUACGUACUUCAAAUCAAGCCAUGUACGUCUGGAUUCGGAUUAGUGUCAAAGGGGUUUGUCAAAGAGAGAACUCCAACCACAUAAGCUGUCUGCCACACUACUCUGAAGAUGAUUUAGAUGAAGAAAUACAAUUCUUUGAAGUAUUCAUGUACGAAAAAGACUUAUAACUUUAAAAUUUACAUCUCCUCUUGUUCCCAAUCAAAAUGCCACCUACAUUAAUAAUAAAAUAGAUUAAUUUUAUUUUAAAAAAUCUGAAAUAAUUUAAAAAAAAUAAUAACACCAAUAUUAAUGAUACCAACGCCACUAACUAAACUCUAAACUUUAAAUCUAUACCCUAAACCCAAACCGUAAACCCUAAACCCAAACCCUAUAUCCUAAACCCAAAUCCUAAACCUUAAACCCAAACCGUAAACCCUAAACCCAAAUCAUAUAUCAUAAACCCAAAUCAUAGACUCUGAACUCAUACCAUAUAUCUAAACCUAAUCCCUACACCCUAAACUCAAAUCGUAAACCAUGAACCCAAAUCCUAUAUCCUAAAAGUUUGGGUCAAUGUUAGUGUUGUUUCUUUAUGGUUUAAGAUUUGGGUUUAGAGUCUAGGUUUGGGUUUAGGAUCUAGGGUUUGAGUUUAAGGUGUAGGGUUUGGGUUUGGAGUUUACGGUUUGGGUUUAGGGUUUAGGAUUUGGGUUUAAGAUAUAGGGUUUGAGUUUAGAGUUUAGAGUUUGGGUUUAGAAUUUAGGGUUUAGAUUUAAGGUUUAGGGUUUAGAAUUUAAGAUUUAGGGUUUAGUUAGUGGCGUUAGUGUCAUAAAAAUGAGCGUCAUUAUUUUUUUGAAUUAUUUUAGAUUUUUUUUUAAAAAAAUAAUGUAUUUUACUAUUAAUCUAUGUGGCAUUUUGAUCGGUAAUAAGAGAGAAUGUGAAUUUAAAGGUUCACCCCUAUUAUUAACACCUCUAUUAUUAACACCACAGUGCCAUGUAGGAUUAGGAGAAAAAUGAAUAUUAAAACUUAAAAAAAAGGAAAAUAGCUUAAAAAAAUAAAAGAACGUAGCUGUUAACGGUGUCGAUGGCUUCCUUCAUCGCCCACAGAGAAGAUGGAAACUGUGUUUGUCAAGUUGAGUCUCCAAUUCUAUGCUUUCAAAUCAAAUUUUGAUUUCUUCUCCAAUCCAAAUCAAGCCAUGUACGUCCGGUUCUACAAACAUAUCAUGACUUACGUACUUCAAAUCAAGCCAUGUACGUCUGGAUUCGGAUUAGUGUCAAAGGGGUUUGUCAAAGAGAGAACUCCAACCACAUAAGCUGUCUGCCACACUACUCUGAAGAUGUUGAUGUUGAAUUUUCCAAGGAAUGGUAUGUUUACUGAAUAUUCAGAUGUGAUGAACUUGUUGUCAGGCCAGUUUCUACUCCUACAAAGCUUGCUCUUUUCAUAGUUUUGUUCUCUGCUAGGCUAGAUUUCAAUGUAUCCUGCAAAAAGUAUCAAAUUUUCACCAGUUAUUGACAAUGACAAUCAAUUCUCAUGUGUUUUAACUUAAAUCCAACCUACGUGUACGUACCAAUUGUAUCCACAGGCUGAGAAAGGAAGUGACUCGUAGUUGUCACCGUUGUCUUUGACCAGUUUGGACAUAGUGUCAAAUGACUCUAACUUCACACAGUACGUAACUGGAGGACAAGUUCUUGUCUCUUCCCUUAUUGUUGCCGAGAGCUUCUUGUGAUUCCUAGCAGGAACAGAGACUGAGCUCCUAGCUAAUGUUACAAGGAAGUAUCCCCACGUCCAACAAUCCUUCUUCUACUACUGCUUCUGUUUCCAUUAGGUUUUGAAAGUUGUAGUAAGGUUUUGCAAAUCUUACUACUUCCACAAUGAAAACAAGAGAGUAGAUCAAUGUACUGAUAUAACAUGAUUUUAAUGGUAUUUAGGAUAUCAUUUAGCUCAUUCUAAUCAUUCUAGGUUGCAUUUAGGUCUUUAUAUUGCAUUUUCAUACAUAAUUGCAUUUGAUAGGGUUUGGAUUGCACAAAUGAGGGGUUUUGGCAAGAACAAGGGUCAAUUUACACGUUUUAUGACUUUGGGGCCAGAAUGAAAGAUAACAACAGUCCAGGGACCCAAUGUGCAAAUAGCCUAAAAGUCACCAUCGUUGAUCUUCGAUGGAGCUCCUCUUCGAUCCGCGACAGCGAUGCUUGAAGCGACGACGAGCCUCACCGGAGCAGAGCACACCAGAGGAUCUGAGCUGGCCUGAACAUGAUGAUCCGCGGUGGAGUUCGUGGUGGCAAGCGGAGGUUUCAAGCGACGACGACCAGUGGAUCUUUGAGACACGACGGAGGAGCUGAGCACGAAAACAACCAUGGCUUGGAUCCGAGGCACGGAUAAGACAGAAGAGGAAAGUGACGACGGAGGAGUCAGGCUGAGCCGCGGCUGUCAAGAACGGAGCACCAGAGCCUCGACGAGCUUGGACACCAUUUUAGACCCCAAGGGAGUUGAUUCACAGCGGUUUGUUGUUGCGGGGAAGAGACGUCGCUGGAAACAGAUCGGUUCAGUGUUGCGGGUUGGUAAGGUCGCUUGUAUUGUCACGAGCUCGGGAACGGCUCGAUAACUUGGACAAACUCGUAAGCUUCAGAGCGGCUUGGCUAAAACGGGUUGAUGAAGCCGCUGUGGUCGUCCAUUUUGCGAAAUUAAAUUAUUGACCGGUUUAAUUCGGUUUGACUCUGGUUUGUGGGGUCAAACCAGCUCGAGUUUUACCAUCGUAUAAAUAGAUUUAGACCUACAAACCUUAGAGAUAUGUUGUUUUUUCUCAAAAUACAUUGAGACAUUUGAGAAAGUUUGAAUCUUUAUUAAUCUAAUCUUUCUUUUUUGAGUAAUUUGAAUCUAUCUCAUCUUCUUAACAUGAUUUUUCUUGAAUCUAUUAUGGGUUUGAGGUUAAUCAUGAAGAUUAGUAAUUAGACUCUUUUGAAUUCAUGGGAUAGGAUGAUUAGGAUGAUUAAGUGAUGAUCUAGAAUGUUUAGAGUAGAUUAAUAUGUUUCCUUGCUUGAUUGAGUGAUCUUAAUGUUAAUUUAGAGUUGGCCCUUUUAGAUUGGAAAUCUAGACAUUUCAUUUCCCGGAAGGUGUGGGAACCGAAAUUCGCACUGUCGAUUUACCUUUAAAUUAGGAAACUAGGAAAACCCUAAUUUCCCAGAGGUCCCGGAUCUCUGCGAGAGCCAACGGCAAGUGACCAAAUAUAUGCGGAAAUCAUGAAAAGAUAACAAACGAGUUUAGAGAAAACAGUAGAUCUUAUUUCGAGUCCGCGUGAGAGCGUUGCGAUCAUUACAAGAGAUCAUAAAAGCUUUGGCCGCAAAGGCUGUCAGUGAGUUACCUAAUCCUAGCGGCCUAAAAGCUCAAACCUAGUUGACUCGCAGUUCGAUAACAAAAGACAAAGAAAAUACAGAAAAAGUUUUUGAUUGAUUUCGGACUGAACCUUAUGAAAGGCUGCCUACGUACCCCUUUCGAGGAUCAAGCCGAACGUAGUUCAAGAGAGAACCAAGAGAUCGAACUGCAUGUGCACGUUCGUCUGGUAAUCGGGUGCCAGUCAUGGAAACAGAGCAUGUCGAGUAUAAUGCCUCAGAGUUUCUAAGUGCCGAGAGUUCUCUGUCUCAAAAGUUCUCCCCCGUGCCUCUCGCCUAGGACUCCUUAUAUACUCGCUCCUAGGUCGGUUUACGCUUUUUCCUCUUCUGCCCUUAAGCUGUCAUAACUUAAAAAUGGAGAUAUUCCGUUUUUCCCGAUCUUUCUAAUUAUCUUCGAAUACUUCAUAUUUAUCCGCGGAAACUUGACAUUUAUCUUUCCUUGCGAACCAAGCAUAAACCGUCCUACAGUUUAUGGGCUUUUGGUUAAGAAAUCGUAAGAGGGUUUCGAGUCACGUCUUAGGUCUCUUUGGGCCGUUGUUUGACUCAAAACGUUUAUUACGGCUUCUUUCGAUAAAAACAAACUUUCCGCGGUUUCUACGUAGCGACCGAGCACGCUACGUAGCGACCGAGCACGCUACGUAGCGACCGAGCACGCUACGUAGCGACCGAGCACGCUACGUAGCGACCGAGCACGCUACGUAGCGACCGAGCACGCUACGUAGCGACCGAGCACGCUACGUAGCGACCGAGCACGCUACGUAGCGACCGAGCACGCUACGUAGCGACCGAGCACGCUACGUAGCGACCGAGCACGCUACGUAGCGACCGAGCACGCUACGUAGCGACCGAGCACUCUACGUAGCGACCGAGCACGCUACGUAGCGACCAAUCUUUGGUGAGAGCUCGGUCGCUACGUAGCGACCAGCUUUUGCACUGGUUGCUACGCGGCAACCUUGUUCGCGUCUUUCUCCGAUUUUUCGUGAAUGUGUUUUCUCAGCAAGAUUCUUCGUAAAAAUAGAUCUUUUUCUAAGAUUUAUUUUUCAUGAAAACAUUCAUGCCGAUUUUUACGGACUUUCAGACAUUGAUUCCGUCGUGACCGAUUUUGACCCCAACANNNNNNNNNNNNNNNNNNNNNNNNNNNNNNNNNNNNNNNNNNNNNNNNNNNNNNNNNNNNNNNNNNNNNNNNNNNNNNNNNNNNNNNNNNNNNNNNNNNNNNNNNNNNNNNNNNNNNNNNNNNNNNNNNNNNNNNNNNNNNNNNNNNNNNNNNNNNNNNNNNNNNNNNNNNNNNNNNNNNNNNNNNNNNNNNNNNNNNNNNNNNNNNNNNNNNNNNNNNNNNNNNNNNNNNNNNNNNNNNNNNNNNNNNNNNNNNNNNNNNNCUAUUAUCCUUGUGUCGGAUGUACGAGAGUCAUCUCUACGAGAUGGCUAAGUCUGUUUAGGACGUUAAGAGUUUGUUGUGAUCAGCAACAAACUUAAUGGUUAAAAUUACCGUUUCGAGUCUUCGCGAAGGAUAUGUUUUGAGAAGAUGUUAGUGCGUAUGACUGUCUGGUCUUCCAAGAAAGUGUUUUUAUCGAGGAAGGAAAUUUCGUCGAAGAACGAAUCUUCAGGCGUCUGCGACGUCUCGCGAUGCUGAAGAUUUGUUAUUCUUUCGUAUGCCGUGUUUCGUGCUUGAAGAUGUUUCGCGGGCUUGAAGAUGUUUCGCGAUGUUGCAAGGGAUUAGUCUUAGCCCUGCGUUUGGGAAACAUUUUGGUUUGACUACGGAUGAUCCUAGCCAGAACUGUUGUUCCCUUCCUUUGUUUUCCGAGGGAGAUAUAGCCUAAGAAGCUCGAUACCGAGCCCGUGCGGAGUCAGUUGCGGGGUGAUUUCUUGCUCGGACGUGACCAAGCGGAAUGAGAGCAGAUGCCAUCAAGUCGCGGGGCUAAAGAAUGAGAUCUUUCAGACCGUGGUGCGAGGAAGUAAAGUUUAUAUUGGUCGUCCAAUGUCGGAUCAUACAGCUUGGUUUUUUUGCUAUAAGGAAAGUACUUUUUCGUAAAACAUAAGUGGAACCUUUCCGUUAACUAUUUGGUUGUUAGGACUGAGUUUUGUUAUGACGAAUUUACCGUAUGAUUCCCGUUUUUGGGUGGUACGAUAAUUGUUUGUGUAAUCGUUACUUGGCGUUUCAAGACAAAUUCCGAAUUACCGUUUAGCCGUCAAGUUAUUGGAGUGGUGGUUGCUCAAUCGUUUUGGCUUUGAAUGAAGGCUGUGCUCAGCUUUAUAGCCAAGGACGUUGUUGCCAACCUUUCAGACCGUGGUGCGAGGAAGUAAAGUUUAUAUUGGUCGUCCAAUGUCGGAUCAUACAGCUUGGUUUUUUUGCUAUAAGGAAAGUACUUUUUCGUAAAACAUGUUACGUUUACUUUCGAAAGUUACUUCGUAUGACAUGAUCUGAUUAUACGAAGGUUUUUUGUGUAAGUAACAGGCGACCGGUUUUUACGAAUUUAUUAAAUUGACGCGACAUAUGGAGAUGUCAAAAUAACGAUGUUUCCGCAGAUUUUUGAGAAACGUUUUUGCUUUUGUUUUUAUUCUUCGGUAAAAGUUUUUCUUGUGCUCAGCUUUAUAGCCAAGGACGUUGUUGCCAAAGGAUUAGACCAUGACACUUUCGUGCAGUCAAUAAGGUCAAGUCGGUUAGAAUCGUCCUUAAAGGGGAUGCUGUAACCUAGUUCGGCUUCGAAGGAAAGGCGUAAUUGGGCGAGUGACGAAUGGUGUUUAUCGAGAUUGUUAAGCCGAGUAUGCCCAUGGUGGUAGAAAACGUUUUUCCACUUUAGGGUUAAUUUAUACGAUGAAAGUUCCGUAUAAUGUUUCCUUUAUUUGUAUGGAAGUUGUUUCCUUUGUUUUCCGAGGGAGAUAUAGCCUAAGAAGCUCGAUACCCGUUUUCUUGUCGAAAGCGUUUUCUUGAUCUUGAUGAGACAUCGCAUUGUUUGAAUAUGUUUUUGAAGUAUGGGAGUAUACGAGUAUAGUAUACACACCUACUCCGUCCCUUUUUUCUCGAGGAAUAGAAUGAUCGACAGUCCGAGUCGGUUUGAAGACGACGCUUGGACUGUGAUUUAGUUGUUUCCACGUUGAAGACUUGGGAUAUGUCGGUUCCGAGAGAAUUACCAGAAACGAAUCGGUUUUAAAACUACGUUCAUGUCUCUAGUUUUUUCUCUCCUUAGGAAGCGAGCUUGAUAUGCGUGGCGAUCGUUUCUCGAUUUUUGGAGAGUUUAGAUCGGUUUGCAAGAUCUGGACGAACAGUUAUGGGACAAUAUAUCGAGACAGGAAAGAUCACCUAAGACUUAGUUCGCUGGACUAUCCCCCUAGGUUUUACGUUCCCUAAAGUUCUAUGACAGUGUCAAAGGCGUUUUUAUUUCUUAGAAAUUUCCUACGAAAAAUCCAAGUCUGAUUUCAAAAAUUUCAAGUCGCAAAUACCUUAGUUCUCUCGAAGAUGCAGUUUUGUCUCUUCUCAAUUUUGCUUGCUCGUUUCCCCUUCCUCUUCUUGUGUAUGUUCGCCUUUUUCGAUAUUGGUGUUUAUCCUUUGAGACUUGACAUUUAUCUUCCGAACUUGACUGAUACGAAGUCAAUAAAAAGGUUCAACGUAAUCGUAUAGUUGAGGCGGCUAAGGUGUUAAGUUAACCGUUGCCGUAUUAUACGAUUAAUCUGAAUCCACGCGAGAAAACUAGUCUUUGCGGGUUUUUUUUUUAUCGUAAAGUUUCAAUGGUAACUCCAAUCGAGACGAAACAAGAGACGUUUCGAUCGAGAUUUGAAGGAGAACACAAAGAUGGAGGUAAGGGCGAGUCGGAGCAAGCGAAGGAGUUUAGACGAGUCUUACUUGUUUUCGCCGUAAAAUCUCGACGGAAACUCCGAUUGAGACGAAACGAAAAGCGUUUCGAUCGGGAUUCAAAAGAGAACACAAAGGAGGAGCUUUUUUAGGCCUGACAGGUCGCUAUGUAGCGAGCUAGAGGCCUGACAGGUUGCUACGUAGCGAGUGGAAGCAAGUAAAGAAGAGUCCUACUUGUUUUCGUCGUAAAAUCUCAACGGAAACUCUGAUUGAGACGAAACGAAAAGCGUUUCGAUGAGGAUUCAAAAGAGAACCUAUGUAGCGACCGAGCUGAACGCGUGCUCGGUCGCUACGUAGUGACCGAGCUUGGCUUGAGCUCGGUCGCUACGUAGCAACCGAGCCGUGUGCUUGCUCGGUCGCUACGUAGCGACCGAGCUGUGUAAUCGAUUUGUUGCACUUCCUUUUUCCGCGAUUAACCUAGGGGUUUUCUGCGGUUUUUGGAAGAACAAGCUUUACCCUUCCGAAAGGUUUUCAGAAAACGUGUUUUGGUAAAAUCCUUACGCAUUGAGAUUUCUUUUGUUCGGUAAUGAGCCAAAAUUACGGGGUUUGAUAAGAUUUAUCAUUUCUCUUUAUAUUUAAAAAGAGAAAUCGCGAGAUCGUUUCAUUGCACGUCCUGUGGUGAAAAGUCGUAGCAAGGUUUUCGAUUUUCUCAAGAACUGUGGCGUUUGCAUAGGCGUUGGCCAUAGGCGGAGUGGCGGCUGGAGUUUUCUUACCAGCGUUGUUGCGAACUGCGAUUUUCUCUUUCGUAUUUCCAGACAUUGUUUUGAUCAAGCGUUUUGCGGCUAUGAGUUAGAGUAAUCCGUACCGAGCACGCUACGUAGCGACCGAGCACGCUACGUAGCGACCGAGCACGCUACGUAGCGACCGAGCACGCUACGUAGCGACCGAGCACGCUACGUAGCGACCGAGCACGCUACGUAGCGACCGAGCACGCUACGUAGCGACCGAGCACGCUACGUAGCGACCGAGCACGCUACGUAGCGACCGAGCACGCUACGUAGCGACCGAGCACGCUACGUAGCGACCGAGCACGCUACGUAGCGACCGAGCACGCUACGUAGCGACCGAGCACGCUACGUAGCGACCGAGCACGCUACGUAGCGACCGAGCACGCUACGUAGCGACCGAGCACGCUACGUAGCGACCGAGCACGCUACGUAGCGACCGAGCACGCUACGUAGCGACCGAGCACGCUACGUAGCGACCGAGCACGCUACGUAGCGACCGAGCACGCUACGUAGCGACCGAGCACGCUACGUAGCGACCGAGCACGCUACGUAGCGACCGAGCACGCUACGUAGCGACCGAGCACGCUACGUAGCGACCGAGCACGCUACGUAGCGACCGAGCACGCUACGUAGCGACCGAGCACGCUACGUAGCGACCGAGCACGCUACGUAGCGACCGAGCACGCUACGUAGCGACCGAGCACGCUACGUAGCGACCGAGCACGCUACGUAGCGACCGAGCACGCUACGUAGCGACCGAGCACGCUACGUAGCGACCGAGCACGCUACGUAGCGACCGAGCACGCUACGUAGCGACCGAGCACGCUACGUAGCGACCGAGCACGCUACGUAGCGACCGAGCACGCUACGUAGCGACCGAGCACGCUACGUAGCGACCGAGCACGCUACGUAGCGACCGAGCACGCUACGUAGCGACCGAGCACGCUACGUAGCGACCGAGCACGCUACGUAGCGACCGAGCACGCUACGUAGCGACCGAGCACGCUACGUAGCGACCGAGCACGCUACGUAGCGACCGAGCACGCUACGUAGCGACCGAGCACGCUACGUAGCGACCGAGCACGCUACGUAGCGACCGAGCACGCUACGUAGCGACCGAGCACGCUACGUAGCGACCGAGCACGCUACGUAGCGACCGAGCACGCUACGUAGCGACCGAGCACGCUACGUAGCGACCGAGCACGCUACGUAGCGACCGAGCACGCUACGUAGCGACCGAGCACGCUACGUAGCGACCGAGCACGCUACGUAACGACCAAGCACGCUACGUAGCGACCGAGCACGCUAGCCAGAAUAACUCUCAAGGUUUCUCCUCCAAAGGAAAUCAGUCUACACAAGGCCAAGCCGGAUCUUCUACUUCUUCUCCACAAGAAAGUAGCACUGAUGCAAUGUUGAAACAUAUCUUGGAGUCCCAAACUAGAAAUGAAAAGCACAUUGGAUAUGAGUUGAAGAACCUUCACACCAAAGUUGAUGGAAGCUAUAAUGAUCUCAACAACAAGGUCUCAAACCUUGCUUCUAACUUUAAGGCUUUGGAGAACCAAUUUGCCUCUACGACUUCAUCCUCCAAGCGCCCAAUGAGAUCUCUACAAGGGAAAUCAGAGCAACACCCUAAAGAGUAUUGCAAUGCUGUCCUCUCUACUUCUUCUGAGAUUGAGUUGAGUGAUACUAGGAAAGAAGUAGAUGAGCUUGAAAGACUCUUGUAUGGAACAGAAGUUGUUGCCAAGGCUGAAGCACAAAUUGUGGAGAAGGCUGGACAGAUAGUUGAUGCAAAGAUUGUGACGAGAGCUGAGCACAAGGCUGAGAAACCAGUUAUUGAGAUUGUUGUCAAGAAGUUGAAGGAGUUUAAGCUGGAAGAAAUCCAUGAGGUUGAACAAUCACCCUAUUAUAAGCUCCCAUUCCACAAAGGCUUCUCACAAAGGCUCAAAAGAAGGUGAUCUCUGAUAUUUGGAGUUUUCAAAGCUCCUAAGACAAAUGAUGUAGUAUAAAAGAUUGUCGAACCAAUUCUAAGGGAUUUCAAAGCACUGAGAAUGCAAGUACUCACUUAAUCUAAGUGCAUUUGGUGAUUUAAAAGAUUUCUAAACUAAUGAUUAAUGCUAAUGCAGUUGCAGAAUAAUAAAAGCGAUAAAUGAAGUAACUUUCUUGACUAAGGGAAAAGAGAACUCAUGGGCAUAGGGAUUAGACCUUGGGUGAUCAAGUUUCGAACUAAGGAUGGCAAACGAUCAAUCAAACUAUCAACCUUAAGCUUAGACACAGUUCUAAACAAGCUCUAUGUCUAGAUGAAUGUUCAUUUACUAACACAUUUCAAACAUCAAAUGUCUUUGGUUGAAUAAUAUGAAAGCAAUUAUUACUAACAAGUCUAAUGGCUAUCUUAGCACCUCUAACAACAAAUGUCUUUGGCAAAGUAUGUUAAAAGCUCAGAAGAGUUGUCUCAGGCAUUUCAUCAAACACCUUUUGGGUGGAAAAUGCCUAAAGAUCAACUUUUGAGAGGCCAACUCAGAAGAUGCAUUAUGAAUAAUAUACUAGCAAGGACUAAGAAUGAUCUACACUAAAACAUCCUAGCUCUAACCUAAUCACCCUUAAUCUCCCUAACCCAUGAAUUCAAAAGGUGAUUACUCACUAAUCUCCAUGAUUUCUCUUAAACCCAUAUUGGAUUUCAGAUUUAUCAUGUAGAGAAAUACAGAGAAUCGAUAUGAAAACAACAGGAUUGCAAUAACAAAAAUGAUCAAUUGAAUCAAAGAGAUGAACUUUCCAAGAGGUUUUUGGUGGUUUUCUUAGGAUAAAAGAUAAUCAGCCUCCAAUGGCUUACAAAAGGUACUUAAACAUAGGUUUAGAAAGUGUAAAACGUGCAUAAUAAAUGACCAAAAAGCCCUUGAUUAAUCAUCAGUUUGACCAAAUAAUUGAAGCGCAGCGACCUCGGCACGUCGCUCCGGGAAGUCGCUCUAGGUGUUGGGAGCGACCUCAGGUAGUCGUUGUGGGACGUUUCUCCCGGCUUGUUCUUCGUGUCUCAAAUCGACACAAACCCGAGCGACCUCGGGGUGUCGUUGUGCUGACCUCGCUCUGGAGCUGGAGCGACUUUGUGUCGUCGCUCUAGGAGGUCGCUCCGGGUCUAUUUUUGCACUCCAAAACGAUGAAAUGGCGAGCGACCUCGUGAGGUCGCUCUGGUAAGGUCGCUCUGAGAGGUAGGGCACAGCGAGUUCAUGGCGUCGCUCCGGUAGGGUCGCUCCCAUGCACUGCUCGUCCAAUGAUCACCUUUAUCACCUCUUUUGAGCUCCAAAUGCACCNNNNNNNNNNNNNNNNNNNNNNNNNNNNNNNNNNNNNNNNNNNNNNNNNNNNNNNNNNNNNNNNNNNNNNNNNNNNNNNNNNNNNNNNNNNNNNNNNNNNNNNNNNNNNNNNNNNNNNNNNNNNNNNNNNNNNNNNNNNNNNNNNNNNNNNNNNNNNNNNNNNNNNNNNNNNNNNNNNNNNNNNNNNNNNNNNNNNNNNNNNNNNNNNNNNNNNNNNNNNNNNNNNNNNNNNNNNNNNNNNNNNNNNNNNNNNNNNNNNNNNNNNNNNNNNNNNNNNNNNNNNNNNNNNNNNNNNNNNNNNNNNNNNNNNNNNNNNNNNNNNNNNNNNNNNNNNNNNNNNNNNNNNNNNNNNNNNNNNNNNNNNNNNNNNNNNNNNNNNNNNNNNNNNNNNNNNNNNNNNNNNNNNNNNNNNNNNNNNNNNNNNNNNNNNNNNNNNNNNNNNNNNNNNNNNNNNNNNNNNNNNNNNNNNNNNNNNNNNNNNNNNNNNNNNNNNNNNNNNNNNNNNNNNNNNNNNNNNNNNNNNNNNNNNNNNNNNNNNNNNNNNNNNNNNNNNNNNNNNNNNNNNNNNNNNNNNNNNNNNNNNNNNNNNNNNNNNNNNNNNNNNNNNNNNNNNNNNNNNNNNNNNNNNNNNNNNNNNNNNNNNNNNNNNNNNNNNNNNNNNNNNNNNNNNNNNNNNNNNNNNNNNNNNNNNNNNNNNNNNNNNNNNNNNNNNNNNNNNNNNNNNNNNNNNNNNNNNNNNNNNNNNNNNNNNNNNNNNNNNNNNNNNNNNNNNNNNNNNNNNNNNNNNNNNNNNNNNNNNNNNNNNNNNNNNNNNNNNNNNNNNNNNNNNNNNNNNNNNNNNNNNNNNNNNNNNNNNNNNNNNNNNNNNNNNNNNNNNNNNNNNNNNNNNNNNNNNNNNNNNNNNNNNNNNNNNNNNNNNNNNNNNNNNNNNNNNNNNNNNNNNNNNNNNNNNNNNNNNNNNNNNNNNNNNNNNNNNNNNNNNNNNNNNNNNNNNNNNNNNNNNNNNNNNNNNNNNNNNNNNNNNNCAAGGCUCGAAACAUACAAGGCUUUUUGAGAGAUGCAAUAGCUAUUCGAGCGCGAGGUAGUGUUCUUUACAAGGCAUUUUAAAUCAUUGCUCCCAAUGCAAGUGAAUGCAACCUAUAUGCUCUAGACUCUCCUAAAAAUGCAAGUGAUGUAAUCUAUAUGAUUUUUUUUAUGCAAAAAGGUAUGUAUGCAAGACUCAAUGCAAAAUCAUCAAAGCAAACAUGAUCAAAUACUUGGUACCUCCCCCCAAACUUAAGUUACACAGUUUCUGUGUUGUCAAGUAGAGAGAGAUACCCAAAAGAAAGCUAAUAUGCAAAAAAUGAAAUGGUAUAUACAAGGGAAAGUAAUGAAGUACCUUCUACGGAUAGUGAGUAGGGGUAGAUGCCCCAGCAUCGUCGUCGUCAGGUGGGAAUGUGGUGUAGUAACCACCUGGUGUUGAGCUGUAGCCUCCAAACCAUGGCUGGCUCUGAACCUUGUCAAUCUCGACCUCAUUAUCAGAAGAGGCUAGGGAUGGGGACUCGACCUCGUGAGGUCGCUCUGGUAAGGUCGCUCUGAGAGGUAAGGCACAGCGAGUUCAUGGCGUUGCUCUGGUAGGGUCGCCCCCAUGCACUGCUUGUCCAAUGAUCACCUUUAUCACCUCUUUUGAGCUCCAAAUGCACCCAAAUGUCUCCAAAAACUCCAUGUGGUACUCCAAUACCUAAUAAAGACUCAUGUAUGCAAAAUGUAACCUAAACAUGGCUAAAUCCUAGUCUAUAUGAUCAAAAUGCACAUGGGUGAAUGGAUAACACAAUGGAAAUAUGCAAGAUAUCAACUCCCCCAAACUUGUUCUUUUAGUUGUCCACAAAUGAACUUUCUAGAACUUAUAGGGAGAGAGGUUUGAAGGUGAGAGCUCAUAGCCAAAAGAAACACAUCUAGCACUCAAUUCAACAUCUAAAUCCAACAUGAACACACUCUAUUAUUAUACUCUAGCUUCUCUAGACCUAUCUCAACUCCUUUUGCCCUUACAAUCAUCAUCAAGCAUCCACACAUUCAAAUCAACCAACUCUCACAUUCAUUAAGCAAUAAACAUCAGGUGAAUUAUUGCAAAUGGUCAAUUGGUUCAAAUCAUUUGGUUGGGUAAGGGAAGACUUUUUAUUCAAGUGAGUCAAGAGGUUCAAUAUACAUGAUCUUUAAGGUGGUUUAUUCUCAAGAUAAGUAGCCUUGACAUGCACAUAAUAUAUCUAAGAAAGGGAUCAAUUCAUGCAUACAAUGCUCAAUCUCCAUUGUUCUACCCUUUUCCCAAACAUACAAGUUACACAAUCAUUUCCCAAUGUCAAACCCAACUCACAUCUCUCACCAAAAGAUCCUAAGAACAUUUUUCACAUAAAACUCUUUCUCUUUGAAAUCUACAAGGGAUUUUUUUUUCUUUCACAAUUUAAAAACAUUUCUUAACUCCUAACAACUUUGCUAGCCCCUUUUUUUUUUUUUUUGUGGGGGCCAAGACUUUUCAUAAACUUGAGCUAGAUGUUUAUCUACUUAUCCCAAUAAGACUAUUCACAUAAACACAAAGAGUCUAUUCUUUUCCAUCAAACAUUUCAUGCUCCCAAAUCAUAAUCACAACACUCGCCCCCACCUAUAGCUAGACAAUAGAGUGUCUAAUCUAGCAAGAAUGAAGAUCAAGCAUUGUCGUUCCCGAUACUCUCAACAUUAUGCACAUGUAAGACUUUCCGAAAAAAGUCUCACUCAUCAAACAAUGAAAGCUUAAAAGGAGGAAAGGGUUUUGGGAGUGGUCUACCACUCGAGUUUGUCAAAAAGAUUGGCGUAAAGGAUGUGACAAUUCAAGUGUGUAUAGCCAUGACUCAGUACACAAGGGACCAUGAGCAAGAAGCAUUAAGUUCAUUCAGUACAAAUAAGGUUGUAGUUGGCUUCAAAGAUUGAGUUUCAGCAACUAAUGAGAUUCAGGAAGAGUUUUCAAGGCUCGAAACAAACAAGGCUUUUUGAGAGAUGCAAUAGCUAUUCGAGCGCGAGGUAGUGUUUUUUACAAGACAUUUUAAAUCAUUGCUUCCAAUGCAAGUGAAUGCAACCUAUAUGCUCUAGACUCUCCUAAAAAUGCAAGUGAUGUAAUCUAUAUGAUUUUUUUUUUAAUGCAAAAAGGUAUGUAUGCAAGACUCAAUGCAAAAUCAUCAAAGCAAACAUGAUCAAAUACUUGGUACCUCCCCCAAACUUUAGUUACACAGUCCCUGUGUUGUCAAGUAGAGAGAGAUACCCAAAAGAAAGCUAAUAUGCAAAAAAUGAAAUGGUAUAUACAAGGGAAAGUAAUGAAGUACCUUCUACGGAUAGUGAGUAGGGGUAGAUGCCCCAGCAUCGUCGUCGUCAGGUGGGAAUGUGGUGUAGUAACCACCUGGUGUUGAGCUGUAGCCUCCAAACCAUGGCUGGCUCUGAACCUUGUCAAUCUCGACCUCAUUAUCAGAAGAGGCUAGGGAUGGGGACUUGUUUCCUGAGGUGGCUGGUUCAAUGGGUGGGUUCCUCCACUUGCGCUGGAGCUGUUUAGCAGUGAGGGGGAAGACCAAGAUCCGCAGGCUGAGGUGUAGGCUGGGGGACUGAUGUGUUCGCGAAGGCGAAGUCUGCUGAGCUACAUCCAGCUAUUCCUCCCCUGGUCAAGACAUCAGCUACUUUCUUCAUGAACUUGGCUGAAGUCUUUGCUUGCUUCUUCACAGUCUUGCUAAGCGUCUUGCACUUGUCUUUCAGCUUUUCUAUCGUCAUUUCUUGUGCUUUGUUCCAUAUCUGAAGUCGACCAAUAUGCUCAUGAGCAUCACGAAGCGCACCAGGAGGAAGAACUCCAGCAUAUGGCUUGAAGUAGUAGCGCGGAGGUCCAUAGACAGGUUCAGAUGCUUCCACAGCAGGUUCGUCAUGUCUCGUCGGAGCACUCCUUUUCCUUGGUGCAGUAAUGGGACGAAGAGACCCGUGCUCUCCCAGAAAGUCUUCCUCAGAAAUGUUGAAGCUGAUAGCUCCAGGUCUCUCUAAGCUCGUCAGGUUCUUGUUUGAAAGAACCACUUCAACAGGCUUGCCUUUCAAGUAGUAGUAGUAGACGUAGUUCUUCCCAUACAUCCCGCUGAAAUAAGUGGCAAUCUUCAAGUAAGUGCCAUCAAUGAAUCUAGGUCCUGCUGCGUCCUUUCCAAAGGGAACAUUCAUAAAUUGAAGCAGUGGUGUGAUCAACCCGCCAAUUCCAACCUUCGGGCGCGAAUCAGAGGUGUACCAUGCCCAGUCUCUGUAGUGCUCGAGAUGACUCACAAAGAAACUGACCAUCCCAAAGGUAGCAUAGAUGUCGGUGCUUGGAAGAGGCAACACUCCAGGGGCGGCGUAGGGUCGGAUAGCCGAGCAGAGCAGUCGCAUAUCUUCCUCGGUGACACUACCUGCUUCCUUCCGUGGAUAAAAUGCAUGGACGAGCAUCCUAUGGAGGUAGCGCACAGACGGAUGCCGGAUAUGUUAGUUCUUGUCAGUCCCGGUAGAGUGCCUGUUUCCGGUGAUCAACUUCCAAAGCUCGAUGGGGAGAUUUUCGCAUUUGGGAAGAGAGUAGUCUUCCAAGUCUUGGAACCCCAUGACUCUCCCAAUGUCCUUGAAGUUCAUGUUGUAGUCUCUCCCAUUGACCUUGAACUUGAUCUUGCCCCAUCAUUGCCUCACAUGCGGAGUGUUAUGGUAAGUGACCUCAAGGGAAGACAAGAACUAACAGGAGACAUCCUUGUAGACAGGGUAAGCCAUGGUGAGGAGUUUUGGCAUCUUCAAAUGUCUCAGAAUCGCCUCAAUAUCAGAAUCAAGAGUCAACUCCUUCAGCAAAUCAAGGUCGGCGAACCUUGUUGGAGUCCAAGUGACCAUCCAGCAAGUGAUCAUACAGCUCUUCCACAUAUGGAGUUUUCUCCCUGUCCCUAUCAACAGCAACCGCAUUCCCUUUUGACAUCUUGGCUUUCUUUGAAGGAGCCUGCUCAUCCUCACUUUCAUCGUCACUCUUCUCAUUAGUGGGAACUGCUACACUUUUCCCUGCCCUCUUCUUUUGCUCUUUUGAUUUCUUUGAAGCCAAGGUUUGCUGUCGAGAAGUCCUCUGUGUCCCAGAGCCAGCUGGCUUGGAGGCUAAGGCUUUCCCACUUAGUGCAGACUCUUUUCUUCCAGCUUCUUGCUUCUCAGCAUCCAGCUUUCCCUUUGUUUUCUUAACCAUUGGUACCUGAAACAUUCAAAACUUGAAAAGGGAUAAGUAGAUGGAAGCAAAGAAGAUUAAGACUUUGUAAAUGAAAAUUGCAAGAGUAAACUCAACAAAUGAACUAGCAAUUUAAGCUCAAGUUAACCCAAUGCAACUAUUUCACACAUUUAGCACUAAGAAACCAAGCUAAGAGCAAAGAAUCACACUUCUCAAUCUUAUCAAAAUAUGAAAAUUACAAGUUAAGUAAAAUUCAAUAAUCAAAGUGGUUCUAGAAUGAGAAAAUUCUUUAAUCAAACUUUUAAACACCUUAACACACCAAGUUCACCCACCAACACACUCAAUUAAGGUCAAUUUCGAAAAGCCCCAAAUCCAUGAACCCUAAUUUUGUCAAAGUUCAAAUUAAACUCAAUUUCACCAUUAAUUUAACAACCCAACUUGAUAGAUAAGUUUUCCCUAGUCUAUUUCACCACAAUCAAGCAAGAAAAUGACCAAAUUUCGACUUUCAAAUUCUAGGGUUCAUAGACCUACGAAAUUGAAUUUAAAAACUCAAUACCUUGCUUUGGAUGAAAGGAAAUGGUGAAUGGGUGAUGGGGAAUAAACUACAGGGGUGAAAUCUUAGAUUUAGAAACAAGAACUAGGCGAUUUGGUUGAGAAUUAAGAAAUUUAUGGGAUUUUUUUGGUGUGGGUGAGUUUGAGAGAGUAUGAGUGUUUGUGAGGGGAGGGAGAGUGAGGAAGAUGAAAAUCGAGGGUUGUGGGGUAGGUUUAGGGUCGUCCGGUUCGGUUUAGGUGGGAAGGGACCGGUCUAAUUAAAUUGAACCGGGAUUAGAUCAAAAAUCACUUACCUGAACCGGUCGUGGAGCGACCUCGGCACGUCGCUCCGGGAGGUCGCUCCCGGCUUGUUGUUCGUAUCUCAAAUCGACACAAACCCGAGUGACCUCGGGGUGUCGCUGUGGUGACCUUGCUCUGGAGCUGGAGCGACUUCGUGUCGUCGCUCUAGGAGGUCGCUCCGAGAGUAUUUUUCAAGCUCCAAAAUGCCGUAAAGCCGAGCGACUUGUUACACUCGCUGUGGUGAUGUUGCUCCCAGCUGGAGCGAACUUUCACCCUCGCUUCCAGGUACUCGCUCCCACACCUGAUUCUUUUCUCAAACCGGAUCGAUCAAACACCUGCACACAACUUCAAUUCUUUUUUUUUUUUUUUGAAAUAUGAUGAAAAUGAAAAUACUAAUGCAAUAUGUACAAGGAUAUACAUGAGACUUCCUCUCAAGUGAGCUUGUUUUAAGUCUCUAGCUUGACUUUGCCUCCUUUUAGAUUAGGUCGGGGUAGGAUCAGAAAGUGGAGUUGAAACCCCAUCUUUCUCUGGUGCAGUAGCCAUGUAGAGCUUAACCCUUUGCCCAUUGACUGUGAAGUCUCUUCCAUCAGUACUCCACAAAACUAUUGCCCCAUAUGGCCUAACCUCCUUGACCUUGAAAGGACCGGACCACCUUGACUUAAGCUUUCCUGGAAAUAGCUUCAACCUAGAGUUGUAGAGAAGAACUUGAUCUCCUUCUUUAAACUCUCUCUUCAGGAUAUUCUUGUCAUGGAAAGCUUUAGUCUUCUCCUUGUAGAUCCUUGAGUUUUCAAAAGCAUCCAUUCUUAUCUCAUCAAGCUCAUGUAGCUGAAGAAGUCUUUUCUCCUUGGCACUCUUGAUGUCAAAGUUCAGCAACUUUACUGCCCAUAGUGCCUUGUACUUACUCAAGCUCCACUGGCAGAUAGCAAUCUUUCCCGUACACUAGGUUGAAAGGUGUGCCCCAUGAAGACAAUACCCCACACAUCAAACACUUCAACUUCAAGGAUUGGAUUUUGAGGCAUCUCAUUCCUUUUGGUGAUGUUCCCUCUCCUUUGGCAUGAAUCACACUUUGAAACAAAGUCUUGUGUAUCCUUAAACAUGUGUGGCCACCAGAAUCCAGCUUGUAGCACCUUUGCAACAGUCUUGAAGGUAGCAAAGUGGCCUCCAUAGGAUGAUCCAUGACAUUGUGUAAAGAUCUCAUCAAUCUCCUCAUUAGCAACCACUCUCCUAUAAAGUUGAUCAUUGCAGAGAAUGUAGAGGUAGGGCUCAUCCCAGUAAUACCUCUUCACAUCUUUGUAGAACUUCUUCUUGGCAUAGCCCACAAAAUUCAAAGGUUUUUUUCCUGUGGCUAGGUAGUUCACCAAAUCAGCAUACCAAGGUUCUUUCUCUUCUGUUGCCUUGACUUCUUCAAGCUUUCUACCAGUCUCACAAACUGUGAUCACUGCUCCAAUAGCCAUGAUCUGCUCCUCUGGAGGUCCUUCGUCAAUAGGAAUGCCACACUCCACUCUCAGCCUGGACAAGUGAUCAGCUACACCAUUCUCAACUCCUGACUUGUCUUUGAUCUCUAAAUCAAACUCUUGAAGCAAAAGGAUCCAUCUCAAGAGCCUGGGUUUUGCAUCCUUCUUGGCCAAAAUGUGUCUCAAAGCAGCAUGAUCUGUGUAGACAAUGACUUUAGAUCCCACCAAGUAGCUUCUGAACUUCUCAAAGGCAAAGACAAUGGCUAGCAUCUCCUUCUCUGUUGUGGCAUACCUCAUCUGAGCAUCAUUCAGGGUUUGGCUCGCGUAGUAGAUCACAUGGGUCUUGCCAUCUUUCUUCUGCCCCAAAACAGCUCCCACAGCAUAAUCACUAGCAUCACACAUGAUCUCAAAGGGGAGAUCCCAAUUAGGUGGCUGGACAAUUGGAGCACUGAUGAGUUCACCUUUCAGCUUCUUGAAGGCUUCUAGACACUCCACAUCAAAGCUGAAGGUGGCUUCUUUGCACAGCAGCCUGGUCAAUGGUCUAGUGAUCAUGGAGAAGUCCUUUAUGAAUCUCCUGUAAAACCCAGCAUGACCAAGAAAACUUCGGAUGUCUUUCACUGUCUUUGGUGGGGGCAAACCAACCAUAACAUCGAUUUUGGCCUUAUCCACCUCAAUCCCCUUCUCUGAAAUCUUGUGCCCCAGCACAAUCCCUUCUUUGACCAUGAAGUGACACUUCUCCCAGUUCAGCACAAGGUUGGUGUCUUCACAUCUCUGUAGGACCCUGCACAAAUUUGACAAACAAGCAGAAAACGAAGAUCCAUAGACAGAGAAAUCAUCCAUGAACACCUCCACAACAUCCUCAAUCAGAUCAGAAAAGAUCGACAUCAUGCACCUUUGAAAGGUGGCUGGAGCAUUACAUAGACCAAAUGGCAUUCUUCGAUAUGCGAAGGUACCAUAAGGACAUGUGAAUGUUGUUUUCUCCUGAUCAUUGGGAUGUAUGGGGAUCUGGAAGAAUCCUGAAUAUCCAUCAAGAAAACAAUAGAAUGGAUGAUUUGCAAGUCUCUCAAGCAUCUGAUCAAUAAAUGGAAGUGGAAAAUGAUCCUUUCUAGAUGCAGAGUUCAGUUUGCGGUAAUCAAUACACAUCCUAUGCCCAGUGACUGUUCUUGUUGGUAUCAAUUCAUCCUUGUCAUUUUUAAUCACAGUUAUACCACCCUUUUUUGGCACAACAUGCACAGGAGAUACCCAUUUAGAAUCUGAGAUAGGGUAGAUAACACCAGCAUCUAAGAGUUUAAGAAUCUCUUUCUUUACAACAUCCUUCAGGUUAGGAUUUAACCUUCUUUGAUGCUCGAUAGAAGUCAUUGAUUCAUCCUCAAGAUGUAUCCUAUGCAUACACAAAGAGGGUGAUAUUCCCUUGAUGUCAUCAAGUGAGUAACCUAUUGCUUUUCUAAAUCUUUUAAGUGUUUUCAAAAGUUCAGAUAGCUCAGUUUCAGUAAGUUCACUACUCACAAUGACUGGAUAAGUUCCAUUAGGACCAAGAAAUGCAUACCUUACACCAUUGGGGAGAGGUUUAAGCUCCACCUUAGGCGCCUUAAGCUCGCUCCAGUCGUUUUGCUGGGUGUCCCCUUGUUGAAUGACCGAGGCUUCCUGAUGGACAAUUUGAGGCAGCUCCUCAUACUGAUCCUUACUACCAAAUCCUCUGUGUGAAUCCAACAUCAUCCCAUAGGCAGCACUCUCCAGGUUCUGAAUCACUUCAGCUGGCCUCUCUAUCGUCAAAGCAUGCUGUAGAGGGUCUUCUAUUGACAAUUCUUCAAGGAGCUCAUCAGCAAGGGCAUCCAUCUCUUCAAUGUAGAAAACUUGCCCUUGAACUGUUGGUUUCUUCAUUACCUCCUUGAUGUCAAAGUGAAGAACAUGCCCUUUACCCAAGUGGAGAUCAAUCUUGCCCUCUUUCACAUUAACAAUUGCUCCUGCUGUAGCUAAGAAAGGCCUUCCAAGGAUUAAAGGAUCUGCAGCUUCCUCACCCAUCUCAAGCACCACAAAGUCUGUAGGGAUCUCAUAUUUUCCAACCAUAACGGGGAGGUCCUCCAAGAUACCCACAGGGUACUUCACUGAACGAUCAGCCAAUACCAGAGACAGUCUACACUUCUUGUACUGAGUGAAACCAAGCUUCUUAGCAACAGAUAAAGGCAUCAAGCUGACACUAGCUCCCAAAUCGCAGAGACAUCUAUCAAAUACCAUAGGUCCAAGAGCACAAGGUAAUGUGAAGCAUCCUGGAUCUUCUAGCUUCUUUGGAACAACAAGCCUCUGGAUGAUGGCACUGCACUCAUGAGUGAGAAUCAUCAUGCCCUCCAUCUCUUUCUUCUUUGCAGCUACAACAUCUUUCAGGAACUUGCUAUAUUGAGGAAUCAGCAUGAAAGCAUCAAUAACGGGCAUUGUGACUUGAACUUCACUCAUCUGCUUCUCAAAUAGAGCUUUGUACUUCUCUAGCAGCAGCCUCUUGAAUCUACCAGGGAAUGGAGGUUUGGGUUCAUAGGGAGGAGGAACAAAAGAAUUCUCACUUGCUGGAGCAACAACUUCACCAUCUUUCACUGUUUUCUUCUCUUCCCCAACCUUUCCUUUACCUUUGGCUUCCACAAUCUUCUCCAAGAUUUCAUCAUUGAUUUUCUCAUCAACAAUCACCACUUCAUCAUCUAUGUUGAUGGCCACCCCCUCACCUUGUUUCUCAGCAUCCUUGGUGAGAGCUCUAUGAGGUAACUCCUUACCACUCCUGAGGGUGAUAGCUUUCAUGGCCUCUUUGGGGUUUUGCUUAGAUUUUCCAGGUAAAGAAUCUUGUUGGCGAUUUUGGUGAGUGUUCAUGGCAGCAAACUGGUUCUCCAAAGCUUUGAACUUGUUGUUGAGAUCACUGUAGCUCCUAUCAAUCUUUGAGUGAAGGUUCUUCAACUCAUAACCAACAUGCUUCUCACUUCUAGUCUGAGACUCCAAGAUUUGUUUCAGUAGGGCAUCAGUGCUGCUUUCUUGAGGAGUAGAGGUAGAAGGAUUAGCUUGUUGUUGGGAAGAAUGGUGUCCUUUGUUGUUGAAACCAGGAGAAGGGUUUUGCUGAGGCUGAUAGCUGCCUUGCUGGUUGUUCCUAGGCUGAUAACCACUUUGUUGGUUGUUGGAAUAGGAUUUCUGUUGGUAGUUGUUGUACUGAAAGUUUGGCUUUUUUUUGUACCAGCUACCAUUGUUGUUAAUGAACACAGCUCUUCUUGACCUUCCAAACCCUCAACCUCAUGGACAACAGGUGGUGUCUCUUGGUUUGGGUUACCAACAAAUUUCAGCUGCUCUUGGGUGGAUUUAUCAGCAAUGAGUAUGUCUAUCUUAUCCUGUAGAGCCUUUAACUCCUUCCUCGUCUGUUUGUCAUCUGUUCUACUGCCUCUGUCGUGGUCUCCACUGUAGACUGCGUCACUCUUUACCAUAUUGUCAACCAGCUCUUCUGCAUCUUCCUCAGUUCUUCCCAAGAAGAACCCAUUGCUAGCUGUAUCCAAUCUGGCUCUGUACUUAGGAAGAGCACCCCUGUAAAAUGUGCUUAGCAAGCUUUCCUUAAAGAAACCAUGGUGUGGGCAUUGAGUUUGGUAGCCCUUGAAUAUCUCCCAGGCUUCACUGAAUCCUUCAAAGUUUUUCUGUUGAAAGCUGAAAAUCUCAUUUCUAAGCUUAGCAGUUCUUGAAGUAGUGGCUCCAUUGGCGUUCGCAUCAUCUUGAGGUUGGUCUCCCAUAUCAAUAUCCAAUCUCUGCAAGUGAGCCUGUUGCUCUUCUUCUCUUCUCUUUCUAGCACACUCUCUCUCUAAAGCUCUGAUGUCUGCAACUCUGGGAACUAGGUUUGAUGGACCUCUGCUCCUCAAGUUCAUACACCAGAAAGUAAAAGGGAACUCUAACAACAAAUGUCUUUGGCAAAGUAUGCUAAAAGCUUAGAAGAGUUGUCUCAGGCAUUUCAUCAAACACCUUUUGGGUGGAAAAUGCCUAAAGAUCAACUUUUGAGAGGCCAACUCAGAAGAUGCAUUAUGAAUACUCUACUAGCAAGGACUAAGAAUGAUCUACACUAAAACAUCCUAGCUCUAACCUAAUCACCCUUAAUCUCCCUAACCCAUGAAUUCAAAAGGUGAUUACUCACUAAUCUCCAUGAUUCCUCUUAAACCCAUAUUGGAUUUCAGAUUUAUCAUGUAGAGAAAUACAGAGAAUCGAUAUGAAAACAACAAGAUUGCAAUAACAAAAAUGAUCAAUUGAAUCAAAGAGAUGAACUUUCCAAGAGGUUUUUGGUGGUUUUCUUAGGAUAAAAGAUAAUCAGCCUCCAAUGGCUUACAAAAGGUACUUAAACAUAGGUUUAGAAAGUGUAAAACGUGCAUAACAAAUGACCAAAAGGCCCUUGAUUAAUCAUAAGUUCGACCAAAUAAUUGAAGCGCAGCGACCUUGGCACGUCGCUCCGGGAGGUCGCUCUAAGUGUUGGGAGCGACCUCAGGUAGUCGUUGUGGGACGUUGCUCCCGGCUUGUUCUUCGUGUCUCAAAUCGACACAAACCCGAACGACCUUGGGGUGUCGCUGUGCUGACCUCGCUCUGGAGCUGGAGCGACUUCGUGUCGUCGCUCUAGGAGGUCGCUCCGGGUCUAUUUUUGCACUCCAAAACGAUGAAAUGGCGUCGCUCUGGUAGGGUCGCCCCCAUGCACUGCUCGUCCAACGAUCACCUGUAUCACCUCUUUUGAGCUCCAAAUGCACCCAAAUGUCUCCAAGAACUCCAUGUGGUACUCCAAUACCUAAUAAAGACUCAUGUAUGCAAAAUGCAACCUAAACAUAGCUAAAUCCUAGUCUAUAUGAUCAAAAUGCACAUGGGUGAAUGGAUAACACAAUGGAAAUAUGCAAGAUAUCAAUCUCCAAAAGUUUAGAAAAGACAUGGGUGAUGUAGGAGUCAAGCUUUCACAGGUAACGAAUAUGCAUGAUGCUUAUGUCCAAAUGAUGCUCAUCAAGGACAUUCUAGCUUACAAAAAAGAAGUAGGAGAGCUCCUUGACAUCUCUACUAUGCAGCUAGAUCCACCAGUCACACCAAAGUCUCUUCCGAAAUUAGAAACCCAAGGGAAGUUCACCUUGUCUUGCUCUCUUGGUAAGUUCACACUUGAUGAUGCUCUUGUUGAUUAUGGUGCAAGUGUGAAUGUGAUCUCAAUAUAGAUGGUGAAGAGUCUUGGGAUUGAAAACAUGGAGUCAAACACAUCUUUACUAAUGUUUGGAGACUCCUCUUCUACAAUCCCAAUUGGUCUCAUCAAGGACUUUCCUUUGAAGAUAGGAGCUUGCACCAUUCCUAUUGACCUCACUGUUUUGAAGAUGGCAACUGAGAAGAGAGGCCCAUUGAUCUUUGGCACACCAUUUCCCACAACAGUAGGAGCUUGCAUUGACUUUGCCAACAAGAAGGUCACACUCCUUAAUGUGAACAAAGCUGUCUCCUACCCAAUCAAGUCUCCAAUGAUGAAUGUUGAGUAUUGUGGAACCAUCACUUGUGGAGAACCUUCCAUUGAAAAGAUCAAGGAUGAAAUGGUUGUUAGUGGAAAAGAAAGUCUUGAUGGAGAGUCUUCUAAAGAGAUGUGUGAUGAGCACUUGGAAAGUGCUACAAAUGAGGAGGUGAGUAGAGCCACAAAGGUUGCUCAUGACAAGAAAAAGAUGAUGAAAUAACCUCACCCUCCACCUCUUGAUAUGCCACACACUCUCACUCUUCAUCUAAUGAAGUUCAAGGAUGGAGCUAUUGAGUACAAGAUCAAAUGCAAAGGAAAGUUUACACCAUUCUCAAGUGCAAAGGCUAUCAUCACUCCACAACUACAAGAUGAUCCAAUCAAGCUUCAAGAGCUUCUCCCUCAAGUCCUCACUAUCAUUCUUGAAGGUGGGAAAGAAACUCCUCUUCAUUAGCCAAUUGGAAGGAAAGUCAAGCUAGAGACUUAAAACAAGCUCACUUGGGAGGAAGUCUCAUGGUAUCCUUUGUAUAUAUUUUAUAUAUCUUUUUUCUUGCUUUAGUGUGUUUGAAUAAGCUUAGGGCCAAGUUUGGGGGAAUUCUCAAAAAAAUUCCAAAGGUCAUGUAGAAAAUUCCAAGGUGACAACAAAUCCUCUCUCCUCAUUCCCUUCUCUCAUCAAAGCCAACUCCAAGUAAGUGCAUCUCCACCCUUGUAAAUACUUAGUUCUUUCAUCUUUUAUCUCUACUUUGAUCUCUCUUUCAAGUUUACUCUCACACAAGAGACUGUGUGAAGUAAGUUUGGGGGAGAGUCUACUAUCUCACAUUGUGUUUUGUUUUGUUUACUUGUCAUGAGUCUCAUGCAUAGAAAAAAAAAUUGAAAAUUUUGAAAAUCACAAAAAGAAGCAUUUAGUUGCAUCAUUUGCAUCUUUAGGAUUGAGUCUAGAAGCAUUUAGAUUGCAUUCAUACAUUGAGAGAAACCUUGUAAAGAACACAUGUCUAAAACUCAAUUUGACAUUCUAGCUAAACAUACCAAGUAGCUUAAGCAUCUCUUGAAAAAGAUUGUAAGCUUCGAGCCUUGAAAACUCUUCUUGAAACUGGUUGCUUGCUUGAUGAUUGACAUUGUUCUUGAAACCAACUCCAAAUGAACUAAGGCUUAAUGAACUUAAUCUCUCUUGCAUAUGAGCAUUUGCAUACUUGAUCAUGGAUAUUAUACACAUUUGGGUUAUCUUUCUCCUUUGUAUCAAUCUUUGUUAACCCAAAUGGCACUCCAUACCCAUUAACCCUCACCAUUCUUUAAAACCAACAUUAAUUUGUUUGAGUGAUGCCUUUUAUUGAUAGCAUGUCAUGUGAAAAAUCUUGAGAGUAUUAGGAGCGGCAAUGGGGUUGUUCUCAUCUUUGGCUAGCAUUAGGACGUCAUUUGUGCUAGCCUCUAGGAUGGUUGUUGGGUUUGUGAGCUUAAAUUCUUUUGAUCUUGGGAAUGAGAGAGAUUGAGUGAAAGAAAUGAACCAAAAAGAAUGCUUAAAGUAAGAAACCCCUAGGGACAAAGAAAGUUAGAAAGAAAAAGCUCUAGAGUAUCAAUAGAACCCCCUCCCCAAAAAAAAAAAAUCAAAGAAACAAUAAGUGAGUGGGGAAAAAGAAAAGAAGAGAGAUGGGUCAAAAAGUUUAAAUUCAAAAGAACAAGUCCUUAGUUGGUUAAAUCAAAGGAAAGAAAAGAGAGUUCAUUGGGUGAGAGAUGAAAGUGAGAGUAUUUUGGGUUUGGGAAAGAAGGAAAAGAAGGGUAUAGAACUUAAAGUUAAUUAGGAAAGGGGUAGAAUGAUGAGAACAAGCAUUGUAUGCAUGAAUUGCUUCUUUUCUUAGAUAAAUUUUGCAUAAUGAUCUUGCUCCUAUUCUUGAGUGUGAGUCACUAUAAAUGAUGCAAUUGAAACCUAUUUUUCUUCACAUUAGACCAUCUUCUCUCACCAAGCCAAAUGAUUGAGAUCAAAUGUCCAUUUGCAAGAAUUCACCUUGUGUGUGUGUGUUUGAAUAAAUGUGAGGGUUGGCUAAGGAACUUGUUGGUUGAAUGGCAUUACAACUUGUGUAGAGAUAAAAGAAUCUUGAUAGGCCUUGAGAAGCUAGAGUGCACUAAGAGAUUUGCUCAUGCUAUUUGCUAUGUUUUCCUUUGGAUGUUUGGUUGAAGGCUAGAAAGUGUUCUUUUGGUUAUGAGUUCUCAUUUUUAAACCUCUCUCCCUUUAGCUCUUGAAAGUUUACUUGUGGACAAGUAAAAAGUAAGUUUGGGAGAGUUGAUAUAACAUGAUUUUAAUGGUAUUUAGAAUAUCAUUUAGCUCAUUCUAAUCAUUCUAGGUUGCAUUUAGGUCUUUAUAUUGCAUUUUCAUACAUAAUUGCAUUUGAUAGGGUUUGGAUUGCACAAAUGAGGAGUUUUGGGCGAUAUCAAGGGUCAAUUUGAACGUUUUAUGACUUUGGGGCCAGAAUGAAAGAUAUCAACAGUCCAGGGACCCGAUGUGCAAAUAGCUUAAAAGUCACCAUCGUUGAUCUUCGAUGGAGCUCCUCUUCGAUCCGCGACAGCGAUUCUUGAAGCGACGACGAGCCUCACCGGAGAAGAGCACACCAGAGGAUCUGAGCUGGCCUGAACAUGAUGAUCCGCGGCGGAGUUCGUGGUGGCAAGCGGAGGUUUCAAGCGACGAUGACCAGUGGAUCUUUGAGACACGACGAAGGAGCUGAGCACGAGAACAACCAUGGCUUGGAUCCGAGGCACGGACAAGACAGAAGAGGAAAGUGACGACGGAGGAGUCAGGCUGAGCCGCGGCUGUCAAGAACGGAGCACCAGAGCCUCGACGAGCUUGGACACCAUUUUAGACCCCAAGGGAGUUGAUUCACAGCGGUUUGUUGUUGCGGGGAAGAGACGGCGGUUCAGUGUUGCGGGUUGGUAAGCUCGCUCGUAUUGUCACGAGCUCGGGAGCGGCUUGAUGCUAGCGAGGAGAAGAAACCGUGCGCGGUAACUUGGAAAAACUCGUAAGCUUCAAAGCGGCUUGGCGAAACGGGUUGAUGAAGCCGAUGUGGUCAUCCAUUUUGCGAAAUUAAAUUAUUGACCGGUUUAAUCCGGUUUGACUCUGGUUUGUGGGGUCAAACCAGUUCGAGUUUUACCACCCUAUAAAUAGAUUUAGACCUACAAACCUUAGAGAUAUCUUGUUUUCUCUCAAAAUACAUUUUGACUUUGGAGAAAGUGUGAAUCUUUAUUAAUUUAAUAUUUCUUUUUUGAGUAAUUUGAGUCUAUCUCAUCUUCUUAACAUGAUUUUUUUUGAAUCUAUUAUGGGUUUAAAGUUAAUCAUGAAGAUUAGUGAAUAGAUUCUUUUUGGAUUCAUGGGGGAGGAUGAUUAGGAUGAUUAAGUGAUGAUCUAGAAUGUUUAGGUCAACAGCCAUGGCGGGUGGCUUCUGAUGCAGCUUGGGAUGCAACAACUGGUAACUGUGUCCUGGGAUGGCACAUCUCCGACGCUGAUGCAACAUCAGCAAGCAACUUUACCUCAAAACGCCGUCAUGUACCCUCGGCCCUUGUAGCAGAGGCUUUGGCGUUGAAGACUGCAGUCUCAACUGCAGUUCUACGGGGUGCUACUUCUUUAGUGGUAUCCUCAGACUCGAAGACGCUUAUCAAUCUCCUAGUGGUAAAGGAGAAUCAUCUUCAUGUCCAAGGAAUAUUGUUUGACAUCCAUCGACUUUGUUCCACCCUUAUCUUUGUUUACUUUCAAUUUGUACCUCGCAACGCAAACUCUUUGGCGGAUGCUCUUGCCAAAUCGGCACUCUGUGCUUUGAAGAACUCUCCAUGUGUGGAUGAGUAAAUUAACAUUGUGAUCUUUGAACUUGAAUGAAAUUAUGGUUUGAACAAAAAAAAAGACUCUUUUUGGAUUCAUGGGGUAGGAUGAUUAGGAUGAUUAAGUGAUGAUCUAGAAUGUUUAGAGUAGAUUAAUAUGUUUCCUUGCUGAUUGAGUGAUCUUAAUGCUAAUCUAGAGUUGGUCAUAGAUUGGAAAUCUAGACAUUUCAUUGCCCUGAAGGUGUUCGAUGAAAUGUCUGAGCCAACUCAACAUGCUCUUAGCUUACCCUACCAAAUGCAUUUGAUGUCAAGGGAGUUUAGAAAGUUGAAUAAUAUGUUCUUAAUGAUUGCUUGAUUGACACAAAUCAAAGACAUUUGAUGUUUGAUCAAUGAGAGUAAAUGAGCAUUUGUCUUGACAAAGAACGAAUUGUUAUCUAGACUUAGAGAAAUGUGUUGAUUGAAACCUUGCUAUUUUAGAUUAAAUCUUAGUCAUCUGAAAUCAAAUUCUUAUACCCAUGAUUCCUCCUUUAUCCAUUUGCUUGAAAGUUUGCUAGAACGUAGCUCGAACCAGUAAGUCAAGCUAAGAAUUAUUUGGGGGCAGCUUCCUGUUAGUAAAUUUCAAUAGAAUUCUCAAAACCUAAUUGAUGAAACAAAGAACACGUAUGUUUUUUUAGUCAACGGAGACGGCGACGUUCUUUUAUUUUUUUAAAGCUAUUUUACUUUUAUUUUUUUUUAAUUUUAAUAUUCUUUUUCUCCUAAUCCUACAUGGCACUUUGGUUGGUGUUAAUAAUAGAGGUGAAUUUGAGAGUUCACCAUAGAGGGUGAACCAAAGUUUUGUUCGUGAAAUAAUACAUGAUAUUCCAUCUGUUUCAUAAUAAGUGUCAUUCUAACAUUUUUUUAUUGUUACACAAAAAGUGUCACUUUAUGAUUUCAAUGCAAAUUGUACUUACUUUCAGCUGAAAAUUAAUUGCAAACUGUAUUGAUUUUAUAAAUAAUUUUAUUUAUCUCAAAUACUAUUGGUCAGAAAUGUGUAAUUAAUAACAACUUAUAUAUAUUUCAGUUACUUUCUUAAUCUGUGUGAAAAAUGUCAAAGUGACACUUAUUCAGAAACGGAGAGAAUAUAGUUUAAGAAGUGUUACAAAAAGCGAGGUAGUAGCUGAUUUAGAGACUGGAGUUGGAAGUCGACCUAAAACUAAACUUAAAAGCGAGGUUAAGAAAGCAAAGAUUUACCUCGAGGAAAGAAAAUUAUUGACAAAAGAUUUUCAAAAAACUUUGUACAAAAUUUAAAAAUAUUCCAUAAGAAAAUUAUGAUAAUUUCUCUUGCUUGAGAAGUUGGCUAGGGGAACCAUGAAAUCUACUAGUACAAGUAUAUAUUGAAUCUUAACGGCAAUUUCGAGUAGCUUUAUUUCUUUUAUUAUUGUUAUAAAAGUAAAACAAACAUUGAUAAAUGUAAAAUAAUUAUAUAAUUAAAAAUAAAAAUAGUUAUUAAUUAGACAAGCUUUGGAUUUUUAACAAAAAUAACCAAAACAAACAGUGAACAUAAUAUUACUUUCGACUGAAAGUAAACAAAAUAUUUUAAAACAUAUAUAUAAUAUAAUUUUAGAUAUUUUAGAUAUUGCUCGGGUGAGUUUAAUUCUAGUUCUAUAUAAAAUAAAGUUAUAUAUGUUUUUCCAAAGAAAACUGCAAUUUAAUAAUGGAGUACGAAACAGAAAAAAAGAAGUUAGACGCUCUCCAUACAUAAUGACAAUGUUGUGUUACAUAAAAUAAACCACAAAGAGGUUGACAAUUUUUAUUCCUUGAUAUAGCACUUAUUCAAACAUAAAGCAAAUUAAGAGCUCCCAUCAAACAGACUUAAGUUCUAAGAAAAGGGUAAAACUCAAACCUUGCAACACAGCUUCUACACAUUAGUCUAGCUCCUUGUCCUUCAUCGAAGCAGAAUGGAUGCCCCAAGACAAGCCACUCUAGACACACAUAGCAAGAACUCGCAAAUAACUCGUUCGUACAUUGCAACAUUCCAUAAAACUUCUUUUUCCCAAUCAUCAUCUCCCCCGUUGCGUACAGUGGCCCCCUGAGGUCGCUGUCAGUCGUCUUGUUGAUUACAGACAAUAGCUUAUCGGUGAAAUCCAUCUUCUUCUUUUCGAAGAUCUUCUUAUCGCCGCUCACGGAUUUUGGAUUGCUUAUACACAAAUAAUUAUCGUAGUGGACUCUGUUCGGUAGGGCCAUUCUAAUGGAAUUGAGUGUAGAAAUAUCCAAAAGACAUUGGUCAUACCAUAUUGUUGCUCCUUUGUGUCCAGGACAUUUCUUGCGAAGCUGUCAUAUAUAUAUAACGACACCACGAUAAAGAAGUGCACUAUCUUAACAUUUGACUAAAUUAAUAUAGAUUUUUGUUAUGUACCAGGUCCUCAAACUGUAUCAGUUUAUGUCAGUUAAACAUUCUAUGUAUAGUAUGCGUAUAUCUAUGAUAUAUGUUUAUCGAUAAGAAUACCUAGUGUGUGCACAUGCCUAUUUGUAUAGUUCAUACUUGACUGCUAAUAAUAUAUAAUAGUGAAUUGAUGUUACCCCAGAGAGGGCUUCGGCAAGGCAAGAGUGACACUUGGGCCCGUAGGAGUCACCACGGCAUUGGAGCGUGACGAAAACAGUAUUGGGAGGUAUAUCAAAAUAGGGACUCUUCAUAUUAGAGUCGAGGGCGUAACCGUUGCGCAGAUCAAACGUGGAUAUGUUUUUGAUGACAGUGUUGAGAUUUUUCUCGAACAAACUCCCCGGCUUGUAUUUCCCUUGGGUGUUGUUGCAUGCAUGGUGGAGAUACAAAUUGGUAAUGUUAAGAGACGAAACAACGCUGGGUAUAAGGAGGAGUUGUAUGGCCACCGCGGCCACGAUAGGGACCGAUCCAAAAGACAUUUGUUUGUGAUCUUUGUCCCUUUGGAACGUUUUUAGUUAGUAGAUGAAUCGUUGAGGAGUGGAGAUGUUUAUAUAGGAGACUUGGUGAGGAUUUUAUGAUUCUUUUUGUACUUUGGUGACCGUAAAGAAAAUCGUUUUAUCAUUCCGAUGCUUUAGUCUAAAAGACAGGAGAGAGGUUGAAACUUAAUAUUUUCGGCGAGAGAAAAGAGCCGAUGAAAUAGUCAAAGUUGGACAAUUCUUUUUAAGAACCACGUGAUUAGGGCUGAGCCAGAUAAAAAGAACCGAGCCAAAUCAGACCCAGAAAAAUAGUAAUAAACCUGAACCGAAACUGAAUAAACAUCCGAAUAAAUCUAAAAUUUUAAUAUCUAAGAAUCUGAAACUAAAUCUGAGUUCCGAUCUGAGCUGAAAUAUUUUGGAUAUCCGAAGAUAUCUUAAACACGGUUAUUUAAUUAAAUAUAUUAAUGUUAGAUUUAAUAUCUAUAAAAUAUUCAAAAUACAUGAAAGUAUACAAAACAUCAAAAUAGUCACAAAUAAAUAUAAAAAGAUAUUUUUUCUCCACACAAAUAUCAACCAAGUUUUAUGUUAAUUUUAGAUAUUUAGUUUUACAUUAUUCAUAUUUAUAUCUUGUAUAUUAUUUUUAUUUUGGAUUUAAGGAUUUUAAUAUAUAUUAGUUUUUUAAUUCUUACAUAAUAGAUAUAUUUAUUAUUUUUAAAAUGUAUGAAAUAGUUAAAAUAUCAAAUCAAAUAUUUGUAUCCAAACUCGAAAGGGUAUAAUAUUUCAAUUUAAAAUUUCAUUUACCAUUUUAUUUUAAAGGAAUUUACCAAAUAUGAUUCAAAACUUGAUUUUGAUUGUAAAAAUAUACUCAAACUUAAAUAAAAUGCAAAAAUAACCCAAAAGCCUUAUGAAUCAAACUCGAAUCAAAUGUAAAAGUAACCUAAAAUCGAUUUUUAGGUGUAUUAAUAACUUCAAAUUGGUUGUUCAUGGUGGUUGGUGUAUUGAUGACAAUGACAAUAUUGUAAAUACUUGAUGAAGAUGAGAAUGAUAGAGUAAAAUACUCAUUUUUGAAAAAAAAAAAAAACUAAUGGUAUUUUCGUGAAUAUUUCAAACUUUUGUGGUGAAUAGAGCAAGUCAAAGUUCUAAAAAAAACAUGAGUUAAUUUUGUGUUUGACUUUGAGUUUUGAGUCAUAUUUGCGAAAAAACUCUUUAUUUUAUAUUCUCUUUGUUUAAUAAUAAAUGUCAUUUUAACUUUUUUUGUAACAAAAAAAUGUCAUUUUACAAUUUCAAUGCAAAUUAUAUUUACUUUCAGCUGAAAAUUAAUUGAAAACUACAUUGAUUUUAUAAAUUCUUUUAUUUGUCUCAAAUACUAUUAGAGAAAUAUAAUUAAUAAUAACUUACAUAUAUUUCUGCCAUUUUCUUAAUCUGUGUGAAAAAUGCCAAAGUGACACUUAUUUAGAAACGAAGACAGUACCUGCAAAAAGUUCGCUCACUUGGUAAAAAAUAUACGUUAAAAUCCACGUGGCUUAAAUAAGUAGAAGAAAACGAAAAUACUAAUGAGCUCCCUAGGUUUUAUAUCUUGUGAAAUCCUCGUUCCCACGAAUAUCACCUUAAGAAAUCUAUGUUUUGGAGUUUUCACAGAUAUUAAAAAAGACACGUAAAUUCUUGACUAUAAAUAUAUUAUUUUCUAUGAUUAACUAUUUUCAUAAUUUUUAACUAAUUAAAGUUUAGUAAACACAAUUAAUAUCUUCAAAGUUUACAAUUUAUCAUUAUUACAUGCAUUAAAAUGUAAAAUAUCUCUAUCAACUUAUCUUUAUAUAUAAAGUACAGUUUGUUUCACUCCUAGGCCAUCCACAUGGGAUUCCACGUUACUAAUUUGAACUCCCAAAACGCGCCAUGUGUCCCGGCCAUUUAAAACGAUGCACUUCAUUUAAUUAGAAAUCUGCUGGGCUUUUUGCAACGCUUUUUGAAAUCGGUAGCGUGAUAUGUGUACUUUGUUUUUUAUUCUCUACGAUAGACUGUGAUUUUGGGCCUGGCAGAUUAAAUUAAAUGGGCUUUCUAAAUUUGUUGUGUUUACUGAUCAAACCCAUAACAUAAACAGACACCCUCUUCAACUUCAACAUUUUCAUAUUUGAUUUCGAGGGUUCAUAGUGUUCUUCAUCCUCUGCUUUGGUAAACUGUCCAUGGAGUUUUUGAACGGUGAUGAUAGAGGACUAUUUACGGAGAAUCUCAGGAGCAAUUUGCCAUACGUGUUUUAAUGAUGGGUAAGGGAAAUUGAAACGUUACGGAUGCAUUCAAUCGUUGUCAUUAACUACCAUCUUAACUCCUUUAUCCCAUUCAUAUAUGAUCCUCAUUCGAUGCACCUCUCCUCUCUUCAGUCGGUGGAUCUCAUUUAUAAAAAGGUCAGCCGUCAUGCCCUGAACAGCAUCCUUUCAUUCCUUACAAUCCAAAAAAAAAAAAUUCUGCAGAAUGGCGAUCUCAUCUAUCCUUCUCACUGAUUUAAACUCAGGUCGCUGUAGGCCAUCGACGAAGUCUGUUUCCUCAAUUCUGGGAGGCGAAGAAUGUGCAGAGAGGCGGCGAGCAUAUCUGUGUUGAUAUGAUUCCUCUUGACUCGAAGGUAUCUUCGGCGAUUUGAAAAACAAACACUUUCCUUUUCUUUUGAGAUUUAUAAAUAACGAUGGGAUUAAUCAUUUGAACAUUAUGUUAUGUGCUUAAUACGUUGCAAAUCGGCUCCAUAACGUCUCUGCCAUUAUUCAGUCGAUGCAACUGAGGACCCCUUUACAUCACUUAAACCAAGAGGAACUAUUGGCUCCCACUACGACACAUUCAAUACCCCUCCCCUUCUCCAUGGUUACAGCAGAAAUCUUCUCCUAUAAAUAAGGAUGUAAUCUUCAAUUAAACUCAUCACUAUGAUGAUAAAGUUUUGGGUUUCAUCCAGGGAUAUGAAUGUGUAUUUGAUAUUGGUAAGUCAUUGCUCUUUUUGCUUUUUGAUUAAUUGAUCUAUUGAUUCUUUGUGUUUGAUGUGAUUUGCUACCUUGCAUUAAUCACAGAGGUACACCAGAACAUCGCAUUAGGACUUUCACACUCAAGAAAGAUGAAGCCAUAUGCGUAAGUAGACAUUCUAAAGGGUCUAUAUGAUUCAAGGAUAUUAUAGGCUGUUCAUGAGGCCUGCUUAGUUACUAACAUAUUUCUAACAAUCCAAUANNNNNNNNNNNNNNNNNNNNNNNNNNNNNNNNNNNNNNNNNNNNNNNNNNNNNNNNNNNNNNNNNNNNNNNNNNNNNNNNNNNNNNNNNNNNNNNNNNNNNNNNNNNNNNNNNNNNNNNNNNNNNNNNNNNNNNNNNNNNNNNNNNNNNNNNNNNNNNNNNNNNNNNNNNNNNNNNNNNNNNNNNNNNNNNNNNNNNNNNNNNNNNNNNNNNNNNNNNNNNNNNNNNNNNNNNNNNNNNNNNNNNNNNNNNNNNNNNNNNNNNNNNNNNNNNNNNNNNNNNNNNNNNNNNNNNNNNNNNNNNNNNNNNNNNNNNNNNNNNNNNNNNNNNNNNNNNNNNNNNNNNNNNNNNNNNNNNNNNNNNNNNNNNNNNNNNNNNNNNNNNNNNNNNNNNNNNNNNNNNNNNNNNNNNNNNNNNNNNNNNNNNNNNNNNNNNNNNNNNNNNNNNNNNNNNNNNNNNNNNNNNNNNNNNNNNNNNNNNNNNNNNNNNNNNNNNNNNNNNNNNNNNNNNNNNNNNNNNNNNNNNNNNNNNNNNNNNNNNNNNNNNNNNNNNNNNNNNNNNNNNNNNNNNNNNNNNNNNNNNNNNNNNNNNNNNNNNNNNNNNNNNNNNNNNNNNNNNNNNNNNNNNNNNNNNNNNNNNNNNNNNNNNNNNNNNNNNNNNNNNNNNNNNNNNNNNNNNNNNNNNNNNNNNNNNNNNNNNNNNNNNNNNNNNNNNNNNNNNNNNNNNNNNNNNNNNNNNNNNNNNNNNNNNNNNNNNNNNNNNNNNNNNNNNNNNNNNNNNNNNNNNNNNNNNNNNNNNNNNNNNNNNNNNNNNNNNNNNNNNNNNNNNNNNNNNNNNNNNNNNNNNNNNNNNNNNNNNNNNNNNNNNNNNNNNNNNNNNNNNNNNNNNNNNNNNNNNNNNNNNNNNNNNNNNNNNNNNNNAAACCAGUGUUGCUUCCUCUUUUCUGAUGCAGCUUGGGAUGCAACAACUGGUAACUGUGUCCUGGGAUGGCACAUCUCCGACGCUGAUGCAACAUCAGCAAGCAACUUUACCUCAAAACGCCGUCAUGUACCCUCGGCCCUUGUAGCAGAGGCUUUGGCGUUGAAGACUGCAGUCUCAACUGCAGUUCUACGGGGUGCUACUUCUUUAGUGGUAUCCUCAGACUCGAAGACGCUUAUCAAUCUCCUAGUGGUAAAGGAGAAUCAUCUUCAUGUCCAAGGAAUAUUGUUUGACAUCCAUCGACUUUGUUCCACCCUUAUCUUUGUUUACUUUCAAUUUGUACCUCGCAACGCAAACUCUUUGGCGGAUGCUCUUGCCAAAUCGGCACUCUGUGCUUUGAAGAACUCUCCAUGUGUGGAUGAGUAAAUUAACAUUGUGAUCUUUGAACUUGAAUGAAAUUAUGGUUUGAACAAAAAAAAAGACUCUUUUUGGAUUCAUGGGGUAGGAUGAUUAGGAUGAUUAAGUGAUGAUCUAGAAUGUUUAGAGUAGAUUAAUAUGUUUCCUUGCUGAUUGAGUGAUCUUAAUGCUAAUCUAGAGUUGGUCAUAGAUUGGAAAUCUAGACAUUUCAUUGCCCUGAAGGUGUUCGAUGAAAUGUCUGAGCCAACUCAACAUGCUCUUAGCUUACCCUACCAAAUGCAUUUGAUGUCAAGGGAGUUUAGAAAGUUGAAUAAUAUGUUCUUAAUGAUUGCUUGAUUGACACAAAUCAAAGACAUUUGAUGUUUGAUCAAUGAGAGUAAAUGAGCAUUUGUCUUGACAAAGAACGAAUUGUUAUCUAGACUUAGAGAAAUGUGUUGAUUGAAACCUUGCUAUUUUAGAUUAAAUCUUAGUCAUCUGAAAUCAAAUUCUUAUACCCAUGAUUCCUCCUUUAUCCAUUUGCUUGAAAGUUUGCUAGAACGUAGCUCGAACCAGUAAGUCAAGCUAAGAAUUAUUUGGGGGCAGCUUCCUGUUAGUAAAUUUCAAUAGAAUUCUCAAAACCUAAUUGAUGAAACAAAGAACACGUAUGUUUUUUUAGUCAACGGAGACGGCGACGUUCUUUUAUUUUUUUAAAGCUAUUUUACUUUUAUUUUUUUUUAAUUUUAAUAUUCUUUUUCUCCUAAUCCUACAUGGCACUUUGGUUGGUGUUAAUAAUAGAGGUGAAUUUGAGAGUUCACCAUAGAGGGUGAACCAAAGUUUUGUUCGUGAAAUAAUACAUGAUAUUCCAUCUGUUUCAUAAUAAGUGUCAUUCUAACAUUUUUUUAUUGUUACACAAAAAGUGUCACUUUAUGAUUUCAAUGCAAAUUGUACUUACUUUCAGCUGAAAAUUAAUUGCAAACUGUAUUGAUUUUAUAAAUAAUUUUAUUUAUCUCAAAUACUAUUGGUCAGAAAUGUGUAAUUAAUAACAACUUAUAUAUAUUUCAGUUACUUUCUUAAUCUGUGUGAAAAAUGUCAAAGUGACACUUAUUCAGAAACGGAGAGAAUAUAGUUUAAGAAGUGUUACAAAAAGCGAGGUAGUAGCUGAUUUAGAGACUGGAGUUGGAAGUCGACCUAAAACUAAACUUAAAAGCGAGGUUAAGAAAGCAAAGAUUUACCUCGAGGAAAGAAAAUUAUUGACAAAAGAUUUUCAAAAAACUUUGUACAAAAUUUAAAAAUAUUCCAUAAGAAAAUUAUGAUAAUUUCUCUUGCUUGAGAAGUUGGCUAGGGGAACCAUGAAAUCUACUAGUACAAGUAUAUAUUGAAUCUUAACGGCAAUUUCGAGUAGCUUUAUUUCUUUUAUUAUUGUUAUAAAAGUAAAACAAACAUUGAUAAAUGUAAAAUAAUUAUAUAAUUAAAAAUAAAAAUAGUUAUUAAUUAGACAAGCUUUGGAUUUUUAACAAAAAUAACCAAAACAAACAGUGAACAUAAUAUUACUUUCGACUGAAAGUAAACAAAAUAUUUUAAAACAUAUAUAUAAUAUAAUUUUAGAUAUUUUAGAUAUUGCUCGGGUGAGUUUAAUUCUAGUUCUAUAUAAAAUAAAGUUAUAUAUGUUUUUCCAAAGAAAACUGCAAUUUAAUAAUGGAGUACGAAACAGAAAAAAAGAAGUUAGACGCUCUCCAUACAUAAUGACAAUGUUGUGUUACAUAAAAUAAACCACAAAGAGGUUGACAAUUUUUAUUCCUUGAUAUAGCACUUAUUCAAACAUAAAGCAAAUUAAGAGCUCCCAUCAAACAGACUUAAGUUCUAAGAAAAGGGUAAAACUCAAACCUUGCAACACAGCUUCUACACAUUAGUCUAGCUCCUUGUCCUUCAUCGAAGCAGAAUGGAUGCCCCAAGACAAGCCACUCUAGACACACAUAGCAAGAACUCGCAAAUAACUCGUUCGUACAUUGCAACAUUCCAUAAAACUUCUUUUUCCCAAUCAUCAUCUCCCCCGUUGCGUACAGUGGCCCCCUGAGGUCGCUGUCAGUCGUCUUGUUGAUUACAGACAAUAGCUUAUCGGUGAAAUCCAUCUUCUUCUUUUCGAAGAUCUUCUUAUCGCCGCUCACGGAUUUUGGAUUGCUUAUACACAAAUAAUUAUCGUAGUGGACUCUGUUCGGUAGGGCC